UUUUUUUUUUUGUGCCAGAUAAUAUGAAGUGUCACCAACUAUAUCACCAUACUUCAUAUGUCCCUAAUUACUUGUCUAUUUAUGAAUUAACAUACCUAUUAAGUGAUAUAGUGAGUUUACCAUGUAAUUAUGAAAUAGAUGAAUUAACUUAAGAUUUUCAAGAAGUUUUACUAUUUUCAAAGUAAUUAAUUGAGGGUAUAAUAGGUAUAAAAAAAUUAUUCAUUCUUGAUUUAUCAAAAUGGACAAGUAAUUAGGGACAACUAAAAAAAAAAAAAAGGCAAGUAAUUAGAAACAAGGAAGUAUUAUUUUUCAACUUGUGAUGUGAAUACUUAAUUUUAAAAAUGACUCUGGAUUAAUAACUAGCGUAGUCGAUGAUUGAUAAAUUAAACCUAACCUUGGGGAUCGGAUUCAUACAGUGAAAUUGAUGUUCAAUAAAUUAAUAUUCCCUUCAUUCCUUUUUAUAUGUCACCUUUUUACUUUGCACUUGCAUUAAGAAAUAGUAUAACUUUAUCAUUCUACCAUUAUUUAAUGUUUUCUUAAGUCAACUUUAUUAAUAAAUGACAAGAUUAAUUAAUUACUCUAUCAAGGGUAUAAUAGGCAAAAUAUGAUAAUUUAUGUAUAAAUUUUCUAAAAUGACAAGUAUUGUGAUUCAACUAUUUAUAAAAAAUGAUGACAUAUAAAAAGGGAUGGAGGGAGUACAAUAUAUUUAUUUCGGGGGUCUAAUCACACACCCAAUCAUAUUACUUACUUUAUUUAUUAUCUCAAUUCCAAACAAGUUAGGACAAAAUAUACUCAAAAUGAAUUUUACUCCAUAUAAACAACUGUAUGUAGGGGUGUCAGUGGAACAGUUCAGUCGAUUAUUUUUUUUAAAUUAUAUCAUCUCAAUUUAUCGGGUAUUUUAUAAUGUAUAACCAAAAUUAGAUUUUUUUAACUUCAAUAUCGAUACGGUUUGGUUAAUAUUCGAUUUAUUUUUUACUCUUAAAAUAUUACCUCAAAUAUAUUACUAUUAAAAUAUUUCUUUCGCAAAUAUGUUUUUGAAAAACACUUCAAUUCUUCUCUAAGAAGUCAUGAAUGUAAAACUUUGUUUCCGCAUUGUCUAAUCUUAAAGAUUUAAUAGGAGUGCUUGCAUAGAUUUUGCUAUAUUGUUUGAUAGAUUUUCUAUUAUAGCAUCUUUUAAUUUUAAACCUAAAUAAAAAAAAAAAGCUAAUUAAAGAGCAAUGACCCAAAGUCAUCCAGUCACCAGAGGCGGAGGACCUAGGUUAUAUUUAUAGUUGAAAAAUGUUAUAAAAUAAAUUUAUAUGUACGUAAGGUUAUUCGGUUUAGUUCGAAUUUUUUUUUGGUUUUUUUCAUAAAUUAAAAAGAUCAUCUCAAUUGUUCGGGACGGUUAUAAACUAUGAUCAAUAUUCAUGAUUUUAUUGAAACAAUGAUCCGAUUCAAUUAGGUUCAAUUGAUUCGGUCGAUUUUUCAUGUUCUUUUGACACUCCUAACUGUAUGGUUAAAUUCCAUUAAUAACAUUUAUCAAUUUAAAUCAUAUCAAUACUUACGCGAACUGGAAUUACAAUAAAUCUAACCAUCUUUUAGUUUUGCGAUCUUCAUGUAAUUAUGUCUGAAACUAAUAUAAUUUCUACUUAAUUUAUUUAGAAAAACACAUAUAUUAAAAUAUACUCCUAUGACUAAGUCGUGUUAAUUUAAAUGAUUUUAAUACUAAUUUUAGCCAUUAUUUGUUUAUAUUAAAAUAAAAUUAAGACUCACCUACUAUAUUGUUUCUUUAAAUAAAAUUAAAUGUCACCAACUAUAUCAAGUAUUAUUUUUCAACUAAUGACAUGAAUGCUUAAUUUAAAAAAUGACUUCGGGUCAAUAAUUAAGUGAAAUCAAGUUUGAUAUUAUUUAUUUAUGAAAUAUUUUAAUGGAAGAUAUAACUGUAAUAUUAAACGGAAAUUAAAUCCUUAUUCCUUCUAUUAUUGAGAAGUGUUUUUUUAUGCCAGAUGAUAUGAAGUGUCACCAACUAUGCCAAUUAUUUUUCAACUUGUGAUGUGAAUACUUAAUCUAAAAAAUGACUCUGGAUUAAUAAUUAGUGUAGUCAAUGACUGAUAAAUUAAACCUAACCUUGUGGAUUGAUUCAUACAGUGAAAUUGAUGUUCAAUAAAUUAAUACAAUAUAUUUAUUUCGGGAUCUAAUCACACCCUCAAUCAUAUUACAUACUUUAUUUAUUAAAAUAAAUUAUGUCUCACCAACUUCAGUAAAAUCUCACUAAAUUAAUAUAGGAGAGACCAUAAAAUAUUACUAUUUUAUAGAUGUAUUAUUUAAUCAAUAAAUUAAUAUUUAUUAAUUUAAAGAGUGUUUCGACACCGCAAUAUUUGUUCAGGGAUGAAAUCUCAGAGAAUUUAAUAAACUCACUUGUGAAAACAUCAUUCAUGAACUCGAGGUCAUGAAUUUAAUGAUCUCGAUUACUGCAAUAAAAUGGACGUUAAUAACUUGUUUGAUGAGUGAAAAUGAUACAUGUUCAAAGGUCCAGCGCUUAGAAGAAAUUGUGGAUACAAUUGAAAAAAAUAAUGUUGAUGAUAAAGUUGAAGAUGAUACAAUACCUUUGGAACCAGUUACGCAUAAGGAAACAUUUAUCGCAUUUAGAAAUCUUCAUAAUUUUAUGGUGCAGUUCGAAAAGACAACACCGAAACUUUUGGAUGUAAUAAGAAAAGUUAGAGAUGAGCUUCAACUAGAUUUAAAUUUUAACAAAAAACAUAAUACAAUAGAAUCAUAUUUCACUAAAUUGUCUUAGAUAUAUUUGUACUUUUAAAGAAUUAUUAAUUUAUAAUAUUAAUGAGACCGUAUAUUUAUAUAGGAGUCUUCUGAAAAUAUAUUAUCUUAUUAUUUUAUCAAAAUGAGUGAUUAUUUUCAUUGGUCCAAUCGGGACCGGAGAAAUAUAUUAUUUUAGAGAGGUUAUUAAUUAACCAAGUAUUGAUUUAGUAAGGUUUUACUGUAUAUUAUUUUUUUAAAUAAAAUUAAGUGUCACCAACUAUAUCAAGUAUUGUUUUUCAACUAAUGACAUGAAUGCUUAAUUUAAAAAAUGACUUCGGGUCAAUAAUUAAGUGAAAUCAAGUUUGAUAUUAUUUAUUUAUGAAAUAUUUUAAUGGAAGAUAUAACUGUAAUAUUAAACGGAAAUUAAAUCCUUAUUCCUUCUAUUAUUGAGAAGUGUUUUUUUAUGCCAGAUGAUAUGAAGUGUCACCAACUAUGCCAAUUAUUUUUCAACUUGUGAUGUGAAUACUUAAUCUAAAAAAUGACUCUGGAUUAAUAAUUAGUGUAGUCAAUGACUGAUAAAUUAAACCUAACCUUGUGGAUUGAUUCAUACAGUGAAAUUGAUGUUCAAUAAAUUAAUACAAUAUAUUUAUUUCGGGUAACCAAGUAUUGAUUUAGUAAGGUUUUACUGUAUAUUAUUUUUUUAAAUAAAAUUAAGUGUCACCAACUAUAUCAAGUAUUGUUUUUCAACUAAUGACAUGAAUGCUUAACUUAAAAAAUGACUUUGGAUCAAUAAUUAAGUGAAGUCUAGUUUAAUAUUUUUUUUAUGAAAUAAUUUAACGGAAGAUAUAAUUGCAAUAUUAAACGGAAAUUAAAUUCUUAUCCCUUCUAUUAAUUGAGAAGUGUUUUUUAUGUCAGAUAAAUAUGAAGUGUCAUCAAAUAUAUCACCGUAUUAUUUUUCAACUUGUGAUGCCAGGAUUGAUUCAACAAGGGUUCUAUUUUUUCAUCAUGUAUACUUUUAUUUAAAAUCUAUUUUUCUAGUUUUUUUUAGAUGUGAAGUCAUGAAUAACUAGUUCAUAAUCGAUUUGUUUUAAUAAUUCCUUUUUAAUCGAUAAUAUAGCUAAUUCAUUCAAUUAGCUCUCUUGAGACAUUAUUGAUCUUAAAUAAGAUUUAAUCAAUUUUAGUUUUGAAAAACUUCUUUCGGCUGAGGCAAUUGGGUGAAAGAACUUUUAACAUUAUUCUAAAAGCAAUACAUGUCAAGUCUUUUUAUUUGAUUGAGUAUUUUUAUUAGAUCAUUAUCUUUUACUUGUAUUAUUUCUCUUAGCACUUUUAAUUCAAAAAACAAAUCUAAACCAUCAAUAUCAGAAUAACUAUUAUGUGUUAAAGAAAGUUCAAGGUUAAGACAAUAUCUUUUAAAUUCUCAUCAUCUAGUGAUCUCAAUAUACCACUAAAUAUGAAACCAAAAAUAUUUUCAUAUGCUUCAAUUGGUUCAAAUUUAUUUUGAAGUGAAUAUAUUUUACUCUUAUUUAGAAAUGACAGCUAGAAGGACUAACACAACAUCAAAUAGAUGUACCAAAGGUAAUACAAGUUGUAUUGUAUUGGGGCCCACCUCAUUAAACAAGUACUACUCCCCACUCAUAUCAAGACACAUGUACUAUGUAGGGAGUUAGGAAGGACCAACAAGGACAAAUAUGUAAUUUUCUUAAGCUUACCCUACACAUAUCACAAAGACACAUGUACUAUGUAUAACACAUAGAUGUUUUUUAUAUUAUCUAUGGAUUGAUCCAUUUUCCCCUUACAGUCUUAUCAUUUCAAAACCGUUAAAUUUCUCUUAUUUUUCGAGUAAAUAUCUCAAAAGAUCAUCCAACUUUGAGAAAUUAUAUUGUAAAAUUAUUCAACUUUAUUUUAUACUUCUUAUUUAUAUUACUCCUUAUUAGAAGUGAGACUUAGAGGACGAACAUGACACUACAAAGUUGUACACAAAGCAUUUCAAAUUGUACUAUAAAAUUCAUUGUUGCUCAUUAAUUGUACACGUGUCUUUCUACAGAUACAACAACCUACAUGAAUAAUUACUUUUCUGACUUUUUUUCCUCAGUUUCUCUCUCUAUAAAUUUUUAUUUUUUUUCCAUUUUUUCUACUUUCCAUUCUCCCCUUUUACUCUCUUUAGUUUAUCUUUGAUCUUAAAUUUUUCAUAGAUCUUUAAAAUAUUUUGAAUUAUUAAUUAUUAUGAAUUAUAAUAUUUUGAUUUUUACGUAGUUUACAAAUAUAUAAAUUUCAUUUUAAAAAAAUUGAAGAUACCAUACGCAAAUUUACGAUCAAACUUAAACUAUUUGAUUCUCGAGAAAUAAAAAGUGUCACAUAAAAUGGGACAGACGAAGGAUAACUCUCAAUUAAAUUUAUUUCACUUUUUAUUUUCCAUUUUUAACAUAAUUUUUCAAGUUGGAUUUCUAGGAAUUCUAUUGUAGACCCAUUUAAAUUAUACCAUUUUGUUUUAAACUAGAGAAUUUGGUCACACUUCGCGCGAUCAUUAAAAAUUAAAUAUUUUUGAUUAAUUUUAUAUUUACUCUGUUGUUUAAUUGUAAUAUUAUUGUUUGUUUUAGUACUAUGAAGAUUGUGAAAAAAAUAAAGCUUUUCAAAUUUUACAUCUAUUAAAUGAGGAAGAAUAUAUUUUUUAUCAAAUAAGUUAAAAUAUAUUUGCUAAUAACAAAUUCUUCCAUUGCAUGAAGUUGAUCCUUUAAUAUAUAAUAUAUAUUUUGGUGUACCAUUCUCCUUAAAAUGUCUAAGAAAAUAUCUCGUAAAUGUGAAAUAACACUGUAAUACUCCCUCUAUCCCUAAUUACUUGUUCACUUUUAAAUUGACACAUAUAUUAAGAAAUCAAUUAAUCAUAUAGUGAGUUUAUCAUUUAACCCUAUUAAUUAUGAAGUAGAUGAAAAGUUCUGCAAUUUUCAAAGUAAUUAGUGAUUUAAUUGAGAGUGUAAUAGGUAAAAAAUUUUGCUCUUUCUUGAUUUGUCAAAAUGGACAAGUAAUUAGGGACAACUAUAAAAGAAAAAAGUGAACAAGUAAUUAGGGACAGAGGGAGUACUAAACAAAUGCAUCAGCAAAUGAAAUUUAUAUUAAAAAUAUAUUGAAUAAUGACAUAAUGAUACCUUGAUAGAAUUUCCUAUCUAUUUUUUUGAAAAAAAACUUCACCCUUUCAAUUUUGUUAUAUCUUCUUAUUUAGUAGAAGAAUCAUCAUUUAUUAUAUUCUACUCCACCUUAAUUUGUACCAUUAGAGUUUUAUGAAUAAACAUUAAAUUUUAAAUCGAAAUAAAAAAUCAUUGAAAAAUGACAGAAAAAAUAAUAAUAGUAUAUGAAAAUUAAAAUAAGGUGUAAGAAAAGCCUUUUCACGAUAAUUUUUUGAAAUGUAUUGAUAACAAUUAAAAUGGAGCUAUUAUUUUUAUCUUUAAAAUUAAGUUUGAUUGAAUUGAAUUAGUACAAUGAGAAAAAAUAUAAACUAAUAACUUUUUAAUGUUAUUAAAUGCAUUUUCUUUUUAAUUGAGUAGUAGAUUAAAAGUUCCGAAUUAGGAUAUUAAAAUAAUAUCUUACUCUCUCCUUAAUUAUUAUGGUAUUGCAAACAUUUAUUUUCCUUAAAUCGUGAUUCAUUUUCCAUUUACAAUUAUAUCCAAUUAAUUUCUAAUGUAUUGAAUGUAGUUAUGGGAUAUUGAAAUAAUAUCUUCAUUUUUCCUUAAUCAUAAUAAAAUUAUAAUUUAACAUUUAUUUUUCUGAAAUGAUAAUUUUGUUUUAAUUCCUAGAACAUGUUGUUUACUAUAUUGAAUGUAAUUAUAAUAAAACAUAUUGUAUUUAGUAUGACAAAAGAACUCAAAAAUUGGAGAAAUUAGAUAAAUAGUAAUCUUAACUUCUAAGAAAUGUCACAUCAUCAUUUACAUAUCCAACUUUAUAUAUAUAAAAGAGUUAAAAAAGAAAAAUUAAGUGAUUAAACAAAAUUAUAUAAAUAACAUUAAUGAUGAGAUGAAGAUUAAGAAAAAACGUCAAAAAAAUUAGUAGUAUUGAUGAUGAUAAAAGUUAAAUAAAUCAUUUUUUCUAUUAUUAAAAUUUUUAACAUAAAAUUUCCAAACUUUUAAAAUUAAAAAAAAAUGUUAAAAAAAAAUUCAACGCAAUAAUUAUUUUAAAGAAAAAUAUAACCAAAAUUGUCAAAAAAAAUUAAUAAAAAUAAAUAACUAUCUAUUAGUAAGAAUGGUACUACAUUUUCUAUUUUAACUUCAUUGUUACGUAUGGAUAGAAACUUUUACAAGAAGAAAUGAUCCAAAAAUUUAAAAAUAAUGAUUCCUUAAAUGGUGAUUCCUUUUCCAUUUACAGCUUUUCAAUUAAUUUUUAAUGUAUUAUAUAUGGUUAUGGAUAUUGGAAUAAUAAUUUUAUCUUUCCUUAAUCAUAAUAAAUUAUAUUUUAACCUUUGUUUUUGUGAAAUGAUAAUUUUCUUUUCAUUCGUACAACAUAUUGAUUAAUAUAUUAAAUGUAAAUAUAAUAAAACAUGUUGUAUUUAGUAAGACAAAAGAAUUCAAAAUUUUAAAAAAUUAAAUAAAUAGUAAUCCUAACUUCUAAGAAAUGUCACAAAUAUAUAUAUAUAUAUNNNNNNNNNNNNNNNNNNNNNNNNNNNNNNNNNNNNNNNNNNNNNNNNNNNNNNNNNNNNNNNNNNNNNNNNNNNNNNNNNNNNNNNNNNNNNNNNNNNNNNNNNNNNNNNNNNNNNNNNNNNNNNNNNNNNNNNNNNNNNNNNNNNNNNNNNNNNNNNNNNNNNNNNNNNNNNNNNNNNNNNNNNNNNNNNNNNNNNNNNNNNNNNNNNNNNNNNNNNNNNNNNNNNNNNNNNNNNNNNNNNNNNNNNNNNNNNNNNNNNNNNNNNNNNNNNNNNNNNNNNNNNNNNNNNNNNNNNNNNNNNNNNNNNNNNNNNNNNNNNNNNNNNNNNNNNNNNNNNNNNNNNNNNNNNNNNNNNNNNNNNNNNNNNNNNNNNNNNNNNNNNNNNNNNNNNNNNNNNNNNNNNNNNNNNNNNNNNNNNNNNNNNNNNNNNNNNNNNNNNNNNNNNNNNNNNNNNNNNNNNNNNNNNNNNNNNNNNNNNNNNNNNNNNNNNNNNNNNNNNNNNNNNNNNNNNNNNNNNNNNNNNNNNNNNNNNNNNNNNNNNNNNNNNNNNNNNNNNNNNNNNNNNNNNNNNNNNNNNNNNNNNNNNNNNNNNNNNNNNNNNNNNNNNNNNNNNNNNNNNNNNNNNNNNNNNNNNNNNNNNNNNNNNNNNNNNNNNNNNNNNNNNNNNNNNNNNNNNNNNNNNNNNNNNNNNNNNNNNNNNNNNNNNNNNNNNNNNNNNNNNNNNNNNNNNNNNNNNNNNNNNNNNNNNNNNNNNNNNNNNNNNNNNNNNNNNNNNNNNNNNNNNNNNNNNNNNNNNNNNNNNNNNNNNNNNNNNNNNNNNNNNNNNNNNNNNNNNNNNNNNNNNNNNNNNNNNNNNNNNNNNNNNNNNNNNNNNNNNNNNNNNNNNNNNNNNNNNNNNNNNNNNNNNNNNNNNNNNNNNNNNNNNNNNNNNNNNNNNNNNNNNNNNNNNNNNNNNNNNNNNNNNNNNNNNNNNNNNNNNNNNNNNNNNNNNNNNNNNNNNNNNNNNNNNNNNNNNNNNNNNNNNNNNNNNNNNNNNNNNNNNNNNNNNNNNNNNNNNNNNNNNNNNNNNNNNNNNNNNNNNNNNNNNNNNNNNNNNNNNNNNNNNNNNNNNNNNNNNNNNNNNNNNNNNNNNNNNNNNNNNNNNNNNNNNNNNNNNNNNNNNNNNNNNNNNNNNNNNNNNNNNNNNNNNNNNNNNNNNNNNNNNNNNNNNNNNNNNNNNNNNNNNNNNNNNNNNNNNNNNNNNNNNNNNNNNNNNNNNNNNNNNNNNNNNNNNNNNNNNNNNNNNNNNNNNNNNNNNNNNNNNNNNNNNNNNNNNNNNNNNNNNNNNNNNNNNNNNNNNNNNNNNNNNNNNNNNNNNNNNNNNNNNNNNNNNNNNNNNNNNNNNNNNNNNNNNNNNNNNNNNNNNNNNNNNNNNNNNNNNNNNNNNNNNNNNNNNNNNNNNNNNNNNNNNNNNNNNNNNNNNNNNNNNNNNNNNNNNNNNNNNNNNNNNNNNNNNNNNNNNNNNNNNNNNNNNNNNNNNNNNNNNNNNNNNGAUAGAUUGGACUCGUGCUGACAUUUAUGUUUUUAUUUUUUAAAUUUUUUCUUUUAUACUUUAUAUAAAUAAAAUUUUUAUGUAAAAAGUAUUAUAAAUCAUAAUAAUUAAUAGCUUAAAAUAUUUGAAAACANNNNNNNNNNNNNNNNNNNNNNNNNNNNNNNNNNNNNNNNNNNNNNNNNNNNNNNNNNNNNNNNNNNNNNNNNNNNNNNNNNNNNNNNNNNNNNNNNNNNNNNNNNNNNNNNNNNNNNNNNNNNNNNNNNNNNNNNNNNNNNNNNNNNNNNNNNNNNNNNNNNNNNNNNNNNNNNNNNNNNNNNNNNNNNNNNNNNNNNNNNNNNNNNNNNNNNNNNNNNNNNNNNNNNNNNNNNNNNNNNNNNNNNNNNNNNNNNNNNNNNNNNNNNNNNUAAUUAUUGUGAUUUAUAAUAUAUUUACGUAAAACAUACUCUAAAUAAAAAUAAUUAGCAACUUAAAAUAUAUAAAAACAUAAUAAAAAAUUGAUUAACUUCAAAUUUCAUAUGUACCACAUAAAUUGAAACUGAAACAGUAAUAUAUAUUGGGCCCCGUGCUAGCACGGGGUCCCAUAUCUAGUAUAUAUAUAAAGUAAUCAACUCUAAUUUCAAUGACUUUGUGAUUUCGUUAUCAAUAUUUUCAUCAAAUUGUUUCUUACGAAAUUUAGGUUCUAUAUUCAUCUCAUAUGUAAUUUCCUUGAUAAAAAUCAUAGCACUCAUAGUACAUAUAAUUUAUUUUUUUCCAAAACAACAUUUAUAAGUAAUUUUUUUUAAAAAAAAAAUUGGGGGUCCCAAAAAAUAUAGGGUCCUAAACGGUGACUUUAGUGGCCUAGAAAUUAAUACGGUCUUGUGUGAUGUGAAUGCUUAAGUUAAAAAAUGACUCUGGAUUAAUAAUUAGCGAAGUCAAUGAUUGAUAAAUUAGGGUCGAUUCAUACAUACAGUGAAUCUGAUGUUAAUAAAUUAAUCCAAUGUUUAUUUGGGGGACCUAAUCAUACACUCAAUCAGGGCAGGACAUAAAAUAUCGAAAACUGAAUUAUCGAAUUAAAUUAAUUUUUUUGGUUAUUUGGUAUUUAGUAAUUCGGUAUUUGAUAUGGUAUUCGAGAGUAAAAUUUUAGAAUUUUGAUAUUCGAGUUUGGAUUUGGUACAAGACAUUAGUAACAUUUGGUAUUCGGUAUUUCCUGAAUACCAACUUAUUUACUUAAUGAAGGUCAUAUAUCAACAUAUUCAUUACUCAUUAGUACAAGUUCAAAGAGAAUGUUAAAGAAUAAGCAUGAAUAAUUCAAAUACAUGUCUUUUAGUUGUAUCAAUUUGCUUUUCUUGAUGUCUUCUUACUUGUUGACACACCUAAGAUAGAAAUGACUGACACACCUAUUAAGAAAACAAUAAUUGACAUAGUGAGGUUACCAUUUUACCCCUAUUAAUUAUGAAGUGGAUGAAUUAAAAAAUUUAGAUUUUCAAGAAGUUCUACCGUUUUCAAAGUAAUUAAUUGAGGGUAUAAUAGGUAAAAAAAAUUGUUUUUUCUUGAUUUGUCAAAAUGGAUAAGUUAUUAGGGACAACUAAUAAAGGAAAAGUGGACAAGUAAUUAGGGACAUAAGGAGUAUUAACUUUGUAAUACAAUUGACUAUAACUUCAAUACGGUAUUAUCGAAUACCGUACCAAACCGAAGUUUAAUUUACUAUUUCCCGAAUUACUAAACCAAAAAUUAAAAUUUUGAUAUUUAGUAUCUACUUUUAACUAUCAAUUACCGAAUUACCAAAUCCGAAAUUUGAGAAACCCGAACCGAAUACCAAAUAUUCACCCCUACACUCAAUUAUAUUAUUUACUUUAUUUAUCAUCUCAAUUCCAAACAAGUUAGAAGAAAAUAUACUCAAAAUGAAUCCUAUUCCACUAAUAACAUUUAUCGAUUUGAAUCAUAUGAAAACUUAUGCAAACUGAAAUUACAAUAAAUCUAACUAUCUGUUAGUUUUGUGAUAUUUAUGUAAUUAUGUCUGAAACACAUCUUUUAUAAGCAGAAACUAAUAGAAAUUCUACUUAAUUUAGAAAAACGCAUAUAUUAAAAUAUACUCCUUGGACUAAGUAGUGUUAAUUUAAAUAAAUUUAAUACUAAUUUUAACCAUUAUUUGUUUAUUAAAUUAAAAUUAAGUGUUACCAACUAUACUGUUUGUUUAAGUAAAAGAGUAAGUGUCACCAACUAUAUAUAUUACAAUAUUAUUUUUCAACUAAUGACAUGAAUGCUUAAUUUAAAAAAUGACUUUGGAUCAAUAAUUAAGUGAAGUCAAGUUUAAUAUUUUUUUUUAUGAAAUAAUUUAAUGGAAGAUAUAAUUGUAAUAUUAAACGAAAAUUAAAUCCUUAUUCCUUCUAUUAAUAGGUGAUACAAGGCAUAUGCAUAUUCAUAGGUGAAACAUGACCGAAAGACAUAUAAAUACAUCUAACAUUAAUGAGUCUAUUUCCUAAAUUCUAAAAUCUAGGAAAUAUUAUUCAACGUUAAACCACAUAAAAGCAAGCAUUAUAGCCAUUAAAAAUUCAAGCAACAAAAAAAAGGAUAUGCUCUAUUUCAAGGUACAUCAUUCUGAUAGCUUCAAAAAGAGGGCAAGCCUUGCUAUGCACUACAAAAAAUCAGAACUUCAGUGACAACUUUUCGUAGUGACUUAUCUUAUCCAGUGGUGGAUCCAAGAUUUUCGUUCAAGGGGUUCAAAAAAUAAAAGUAUAAACGUGUAAAUAAGCCUUUAGAAAUGAGAACCUUGAAUUUUUGUGAGUUUAAAACCACACUUUUACCACGUUUUUUAAAGUAAAAAAAAAAUGAAACUGAAAAAGAAAAAAUUAAACAGAACAGAGAAUUAAAAAAAAAAACUAAAAAAAACUGAAACUGAAAAAGAAAAAAUAAAAUACUUUCACUAGGAUUUGAACUAGUGACGGCACGCACAACUUAAUUUCAAGGAGACUUACCACUGCGCUAUCAAUUUUUCUUUGUUAUUGAAGGGGUUCAAAAUAUAUAUAUAUAUAUAUCUACAGAAAUACAAAAAAUUUAGUUUAUAUAUACAUUGUAAUUUUUUGCCAAGGGGGUUCGGGUGAACCUCCUGAAACCCAUGUGGGUCCGCCCUUGAUCUUAUCGCCAUAAAAUGAGAUGGAUUAGUGGCAAAAAAUAAUGCUGCCAUAAAAUGUAUAGUUUUAACAUAUUAUUGACGACUUAAUCACCGUCGCCAUAAAUAAUCCUACUAAAAUAUGCCUGAAAAAUUAAUUGGAUGCGACGAAGAAAUUGUCGCUAUAAAAGGUCUUUUGGCAGCAACUUCAUCGCCACUAAAGAAGAUUUGUUGCAACUUGGUAGUCUUCACUAAUUCUGUUGGUUUUAUAAAGAUUUUGGUUGUAAGUUCAAAGUUUUAUUACUAAUGUGUUUGGUCCAUUAUUUUUUACAAAAUGUUUCAAUCACGUAAAAUUUAAUUAAUAAAAAUAGUAGUGAACUUUAUCAUAAAUAUAAAAAAGUAUCUAUUUAUAGGAUAAGUUAAUUUUUAAAUAAUAAUAUUUUAUUAAUGACAAUUAAAACUCAUUUAUAUAUCUAUAUAGACGAUAAAAUAAGAUAGAAGUGAAACUUAAAUAUACUUAUAUACAAUACACGAAUAUAUAAAUCUAUAAAAAUGAAAGAAACAUAUAAAUAUUUUUCCUCGUACCAAUCACAUGUGUACAUCUUUGACUUAGUGAUUGUGAAAAAAGAAGAGAGAUCGACUUUCAGCCAUUUGGAUAUGGAAAAAUAUAAUAUGGGGUUUAUAUUGAAAGUAAAAAUUGUCGUGCAAAUUCUUGCCAAAUAUUAACAGACAUCAAAUACAAUCUACAUUUAAUUUGAAUGAAUUGUGGAUGGUAAAUUUCAUGCAUAUGUGUAUGUGUAUAGAUGAUCAUAUAAUAUUAUUUCUGAAGAAGUUAGAUUUGAAAAAAGUGAAUGAAGUUAAAAAAAAAAAUAGAGAGACAAGAGAGAGUAGAUCAAAUGGUAAACACCCCGAGUCUCCAAGAAAGCAAGAGUUCUUGAAGAGGGGUUAAAAGUAAAAUUGGGAUUGGGUAAUAUUGAAAAAAAAUUCUUUGUGUAUUUGAAAAGUGGAAAGUAUUGUAAUUGCAAUUAAAUAAUAUAAUUAAAAACAAAAUAAUUAUUCAUUUUUUCCAAUAUUUUACGUAUUUGUGGAUGAUUUUCGUGGAAAUUUUAAUACGUUUUACGACGUAGUUCCUCCGGAAUCUAAUGAACAACAACGAUUACUUAGGAUCAACUUGCGAAUUUGUGGCAUUGUGGCGGUAUAAGUCGCCACAAAAACUAAAUCUUUGAUGAUGGCUUGUGCUAUUGCCACAAAAAAGUAUAAGCUAGCCAACGACCCAUGGAUCGCUAUGAUAUAUUAUGUGGCGAUAUUUUUACUUUCUGUGGCGAGUUAUGUCGCCACAAAAGAUUCUUUUCUCUCGAUCUGGUGACUGUGACUUUUGGUUAAUGGUUUGUUCAAGUCUUCUAUUUAAUCAAAAGGAUAAAAUUUUAUUUUUCUCGAUUAAAUGAACAACUUUUUAGAUUAGAUAAAAUACCCAAAUUUACUUGUGAGUGAGAUUCUUCUCAUCUUCAAAAACUUACAAAUAAGAUAAUUAAAUCUAACUUGAGCUUGACUAUUAUUUUGUCAUUUUAUCCAUUGAAAUAAAAAUAAAAAUGAAAGGUCAUGUUGUCCUUUGGAAACUUCAAAUGGUUCAAGUGUGGCACAUCUUUUUUCUUUUUUAAAUAAAGAAAUUUUGCGAGAAGUCUUAUAAUUUAAUUUCUUUAUAUGAAUUUGGCCUUACUUAAUCUGUUAAAAUAAAUUAGUUUAGUAACAAAUUGUUCAGUUUUCCAACUGUUCUUAUUUGUAUUAGAGAUUCUCACUCACCAACUAUAUUAUUUCUUCAAGUUAAAUUAAGUGUCACCAACUAUAUUACAUUAUUAUUUUUCAACUAAUGACGUGAAUGUUUAAUUUAGAAAAUGACUAGGGAUCAAUAAUUAAGCGAAGUCAAGGAUUUAUAAAUUAAUCCAACAUGUUUAUUUCGGGAAUCUAUGUAACGACCGGGUUCUUUCGUUAUAGAAAAGUCAAUGGGGAAAAUUUUUUGGGUCAGAAAAUUUUUCGUAGUAACUUGAAAUUUCCCAACCUAGUCCAGAUUUGGACGAAAUCAGAGUCAUUAAGGUGUAGGGAAAUUUGGUAGCAAUCGGGGGACUUAUUUAUGAUUUUGAUUACAUGACUAGAUAGCCAAUGUGUUAAGGAAUCCGUACGACUUUACGGAAUUGAAUUCGGGUGAGUAGAACUCCUGAAAAACUGACUUUGGCAUGAACAGUAUUUUCUGAGUGUCGUUGGUUGAAGGUGUGUUGUGAAAUGAGGAUUUUGAGAAUUAUUAAAUAGCUCACUGUCUCGUGCAACCCGCUUUGGCAGGGAUUUUGGUCUCUCUGGCGAGGCCGUUGUAGCGGGGUGAGGGUCGCAGUGGCGGGCCCUACGCGACUUAAAGUCGUAAAUAAACCCCAAAAAUGUUUUAUUCUGCACUUUUCAACUUUGAGAGCUAAGGAACGACCCCAUAAGACUUCUUGACCGUUUUUCACCAUUCUUGAGGCUAAAGGUAAGAUUUUAACUCCCCGAAUCCAUUUUUCGAUCCAUAUACUGUAAUCUAAUGGGUAAAUAUUGAUGAGAGAGGGUUUUGAUAUAGAAUCUAUGGUGGAAACAACCCUAAAUUGGAUAAUUGGGAUCAUNNNNNNNNNNNNNNNNNNNNNNNNNNNNNNNNNNNNNNNNNNNNNNNNNNNNNNNNNNNNNNNNNNNNNNNNNNNNNNNNNNNNNNNNNNNNNNNNNNNNNNNNNNNUAUGUAUGUGGAUGUUGCAUUAUUGAUCACAUUUGUUGUAAAUGAGGAUAUAUGAUUGUCGAAUGCCAUUGAAUCAUGAAUUGAUUGUAUGAUUACGAGAAUGUACUUGUGUUUGUGAUUGUGGUGUGUUGAAUGGAUCGGUUGCCACGUUCCAACAUAACUAAUUAGGAUCGGUUGCCACGUUCCGGCAUAAAUAUGGGAUUGGUUGCCACGUUUUGGCAUAAUCUUUGGAUCGGGUACCACGUUUCGGUAUGCUAACUGUUUGGGUUUGAGUUCCAUGAGAGGACCAAUGACUUGUCAUAGUUGUGCAUCUUGUGAAGUUGUACGUUGUUCGUAAAUGUUGAUAAUAUUGUAUAUGUUCAAUAUAUGCAUGUGAUUAUAUUGUUGUAUUGAUUUAUGUAUGUUGAACUUAGUGGGAUAGCCGCGUGCUCCUACCAGUACACUGUAGUUGUGUACUAAUACUGCACUUGCUCUUAUUUUUGUUGAGUACAGGGCAUCUUCAGGCGGUUAUUGACAGACCUCAUUUAAAAGAUCAGUGAUCUUGUUCGAAUUAAAGGGUGAGCCAAUUCUUCCGGGCUGCCAUGUGUUCUCGUUCGUCUAUGUCCACCUUUUCUGACUUAGAUUUUCUAGUUAGUUAUUAGUGCAUUAGUUUGGGGUUGUAUCCCUUCUUGUUUAGACUUGUUGAACUUUAGAUGUUUUGGUACAUUGACUUUCAGGUUCUAGGUGUUACUUCCGCAUUUGUUUAGUUGUUAGACCUUUUGUUGGAGUUUAUGGGAACUCCUUAUUUCUUUUUUAGCAUUUGACUUGCUUCCGUAACUUAAAUGACUGAGUAUUUUGAUUAAAGUUUGUUAGCUAAUUAGUAUUAAUGGUUCUCCCACUGAAGGGUUAGUGUGGGUGUCAAUCACGAUGGUCUGGAUCGUGACAAAGUUGGUAUCAGAGCCUAGGAUCGUUGAUCUCGAUGUUCCAAACGAGUCUAGUAAAUUCUCGCGGAACGGUACGAAGAUGCCUUUACUUUUCUUCGAGAGGCUAUAGAACUUUAGGAAAUCUCUCUAUUUUUUUCUCUUGUCUCCUUUCGUGCUAUAACUUGAUUCUAAUUGAUAUAUGUCGAUUCAAAUUGGUAUCUAACCUCCUCAGUCUUCUGUCCGCAGAUGGUUAAUACUAAAUUCAACGGUGUCAGGCCCAUAGUUUUCGUCAAUGCUCCAACUGAGGAAUCUGCAGUGAGAGGUUGCGGUCGAGGCAGAGGUAGAAGUCGUGGAAGAGUAACUUCUGCUAGAAAUAGAGCUCCUGUUAAGAAUGCUCAUAUGAAUGAGAACCCUUCUGCGCAGCAUGAAGAGAUAGAAGAGAAUGUUGAUGUUGAGAAUGUUGAGAAUAUUGAAGAGGUUGGACAAGAGGAAGAGGUGCAUGCUGGAACUACAAGUGUUCCUCCCUUAGACCUAGUGUUAGCUCAACAUAUUAUGUCAUUCUUGAAGGGAUUGGUUGGUCUUGGAGCACUUCCCUCUGUUCAAGCGGCUCAGGCUCUCGCCCGUCCUCCUGUUGCUAACAUAUCCCCCAAGACGGGUGAAACUUGAGGUAAUGAUGUUUUCUUUCAUCCUUUGAUGGGUUAUGUUAUGACUGGUAAUGAACAUGAAAUGUUGACUAAGUUUUUGAAGCUAAAGCCUCAUGUGUUUCUUGAUUUUGAGAAUGCGGAUGCUUAUGAGUUUAUCUUAGACUGCUAUGAGAGGCUUCAUAAGUUGGGAAUUGUCCAUCAGCAUGGGGUUGAGUUCGUGACUUUUCAGCUUCAAGGUGAGUGUCACACCCCAAAACUGGAUGUGAUGGCACGUGCCCAAACCCCACCGGACACGUCAGCCUAACACCCAAACCCGACGAUACGGAAUUAAUAAACAAGAAUAAGAUAGAAAGAUAAGCGGAAGUCUUUAAAUAAACUCAACAUAACCCCAGAAUUGGUUGUCACAUGUACAAACCUCUAAUACAGAAUCUGAAUAAAAUAUACAAGUCUCAUAGUAAACUUCUAGAAUAGAACAGAACAGUAAAUAUAGAUAACUUGAGGGCACGUCUGGAAUGAACCGCUACUUGCUCAAGUAAGUCUGGAAGCUCUAAUCUGAAGAUGAGUAAUAAGCCGGAUCUGAUAGAGCUGUCAACCUACACAACUGUGUAGAAGCAAACGUGAGUACCAAAAGCAACAGGUACUCGCAAGUAACACUAAACUAAGCUAAACUAGCAGCUACAAACAACUCCUUUCAAUCCCAACCGAACCACCGAAACUUCAUUCUAACAGCGAACCAACAACCUAUACUACACAAUUCAUAAUCAACAGAUAUAUCCAACAGUAUCUCAACAUCAACCUCAUAUCCUCAUAUAAGAGCAAAUAGAUCAUAUAUCACAUGAAGAGGAGCAAGUAGGUAAAAUCCACACACCACAGACAAAGAUGAAGUCAAAUGCGAUGCAAAUGCAAUAAUGAUGUCAUGUAGUCGUGAUGCAUGUCUGUCCUAAGAUACACAUCUGUUGACGUAAUUCAGACCGCGCUGAAUACUCAAAUCAGAACCCAUGGGGGCCACACAUGGACCAUGUACCACCGCCGGAACCAGAUCCCAUCGGCAUCCAAAUCGCUAGCCGGAGCUAGUCCAUCUCAUAUAUCUCUAGCCGGAGCUAGUCUCAACUGUGUCUCAUAUCCAUCCAUCCUCAUAUCAGUGUCUCAGAACUCAUGCAACAGAUAGUUCACACAUGGGAUGAAUAAUGAAUAUGCACAUGUCAUCAAUCACAAUCAUAUCACGAUCACAUCAUAAUAUUACACAUCAUCUGUCUCAACUCAUAUCAGUGUCUCAGAACUCAUGCAACAGAUAGUUCACACAUGGGAUGAAUAAUGAAUAUGCACAUGUCAUCAAUCACAAUCAUAUCACGAUCACAUCAUAGUAUUACACAUUAUCUGUCUCAAUCACAACCAUAUCACGACCACAUCAUAGUAUUACACAUCAUCUGUCUCAACAUCAAUGUCUGUAUCAAUCAUAGCCUACUCAUGCUCUUCUAUCCCCUCAAUAUGAGUUAUCACAUGACUUAUUCAACAAAUUCAAGUCACAUAUAACACAUUUAGCUCGUUUUAUUCCCCAUCUUUCAAUUACAACAAUUUCAAUCAACAAAUAAAACUCAUCCUCAAUCCCCAUUACUCCCCACCACAAUUAGGAAAGUAGUCAUGUGUAGUCUAAGAGUUUAACAAAGUUUAGAAGUCACUUGCCUCAAAACACUUCAACUAGUAACUCAAAUUUGAGUUUUACCCUUCCGAGCACGCUCCAAAUCACCACAAUCCAAUGAAUUCCUUGCGAAAACCCACUUGAAAUCACCUAUUUUCGAGCUCUCAAAGUCUAAAAAUGGAGAAAUGGGUAUUUUUCAAGUUGGGGGAGAAUGACUAUUGGUUUUGGCUUUAAAAAAAAGAAAAAAAACUGCUGUUGCAGCUUAAAAAAAACUACAGCAGCUGAAACAACAUAUAACACCAAAGUUUAAGUCCCCGUUGGACCCUCGGGAUUCGUUCGGAAUCUCGUGCACACAAAAUAAAUAUGUACCCGCACUAAAUUUGACGUUCCGGACUCAAUGGAACUGUCGGAAUUUGAAUUCGAGGACUCCUUGACCCGAAAUUCAAUAAGAUGCCAAGAAACUAGUUUAACGCCAAAAAAAUUCGAAACUCAAACGGAGCGUCUAAAAAUUCAACCAAGACUCAUUCUAGACUUAGAAUCGCCUCCCGAAACCAACGGUACUCUCGGAAUUUCAAUCUGAGCCUCGGAACCUCAUAUGUUGACCAAAGUCAACUCUUUAUCAAAAUUUCACAACUUUAGCAACUUAGGACCUCAAUUCUUCGUUUCAACUCCAAAUUCAACUCCAUAACUUCACACAGACCCGUUUCAACUUUCUAAAACUGUCGGAAUCGACGAAAAUCUGAUCCGAGUCCCGAAACUCCAAAUGACUCGAAAAAGCACUUUUUUAUUUUAACCAACUUUAACUCAUAAAAAAACUCAACUUUUUACCAACUUUUCCUCAAACCAACUUUACAACCACAAAACAUGGGACUCGGGGCAACUACCGAAAGGGCAAAAUAGUCAUUUCCACGAAAAAUCACCAAAAUGACCUUCCGGAUCAUUACAGUGAGGCUAAGCAGUGGUGGAGAGCUUAUAUGGAAUGUCGAUCCUCUACUUUACCUCAACUUACUUGGACCCAAUUUCAAACUCUGUUUCUAGAUAAAUAUGUGCCUAGGACUAUGAGGGAUCGAAAGAAGGAUGAGUUCAUGAGUUUGGAGCAAGGUGGUAUGAUUGUGAUUGCUUAUUAGGCGAAGUUUCAUGCCUUGUCUAGAUAUGCUACUCAAUUGGUGACUACUGAGGAAGAAAGAAUCCGAUUAUUUAUUAGGGGACUAAAUUCUAAGUUGCAAAUAUUAUUUGUUCAUAUGACUUCUGCAUGGAGGAACUUUAAUGAAGUAACAGACUAUGUUAAGAAACUGGAGGGGGUGAGGCGUGACAGUCAAGCCAAGGCGUUGGCAAAAAGGGCCAAGAACUCAAGUAACUUUCAAGGUUCUUAUUCCAGAGGUUCCGGAAGGCCAACGCUUGCAGCCAAUCCAAAUCAGUUUGUUAUGCUCGCCUCUACAGGUAAUUACUCGGGAACUCCACCUCAUAAUUUGAGUCAGGAUAGCCAGGGAGUCGCACCUUCAGCGGGCAGCAGACAUCUUUUGAUUGUAUAUGUUAUAACUAUGGUGAACUUACGCAUAUGAGGAGAGAUUGUCCCUACCCACGUGUGUUUGAGUCCGAGCAGCAGCAGACUAAAACGAUAGUGCCCACGGGAAGUGGUAAUAAUGGUCGAGGUCGUUCACAAGGUCGGCGAGGAGGUAAUCAGCGGGGCCGUGAAGGAAGAAAAAAUGGUAAUAUAGGCAGGGAUAAUAUGCAACCAGGUAGAGAAGUGGUUCGUCAAGAUGUUAGGGCUCAGUGUUAUGCCUUUCCGGGCAAGAAUGAGGUAGAGGCAUCUGACGCGGUGAUUUGUGAUCGGAUGACUAAUGUGUUAUUUGAUUCAGAUUCUACUUAUCCUUAUGUAUCUGUGCGAUUUGCCUUAGAGUUUGAUAUGAUUUUUGAUGUACUUGAUGCCCCUAUCCAUGUUUCUACCCCAAUUGGAGAGUCAGUCAUAGUCACCCAUGUCUAUCGUGCUUGUCCUACUUUAUUUAUGGGUUUUCAAACUUGGGCUGAAUUUGUGAUUUUGGAUAUGACUGACUUUGAUAUUAUCUUAGGCAUGACUUGGUUGUCUCCCUAUUAUGUUGUGUUAAAUUGUUAUACUAAAUAUGUAACUCUAGAAAUUUUGGGAAGGGAAAAAUUAGAGUGGAAAGGGGCGUACAAGCCUAAGCAAGCUAAGAUCAUAUUCUCCAUUCAGGCUAGGAAACUGGUACAAUUAGGUUGUUUAGCUUAUUUGGUUCAUAUUUGGGAUGUUGAGGUUGAGUCUCCAUCUAUUGAGUCUAUUUCUGUGGUGUCAGAAUUUAGAGAAGUGUUUCCUACUGAUUUGCCUGGUAUGCCUCCAGAUAGAGAUGUAGAUUUCUGUAUUAACUUGGAACCGGGUACGCGCCCCAUUUCUAUUCCACUACAUCGUAUGGUUCCGGAAGAAUUAAGAGAACUUAAGGCUCAAAUCCAAGAGCUUCUUGAUAAAUGAUUUAUUCGACCUAGUGUUUCCCCAUGGGUUGCCCCCGUUUUAUUUGUUAAGAAACAUGAUGAUAGUAUGAGAAUGUGUAUAGAUUACCGACAAUUGAAUAGGUUCACUAUUCAAAACAAGUAUCCUUUACCUCGAAUAAAUGAUCUUAUUGGCCAAUUGCAAGGUGCAUCAGUUUCUCUAAGAUUACUCUAAGGUCUGGUUACCAUCAAUUAAAAAUUAGGCCUGAGAAUGUGCCCAAGAUGACAUUUAGGACUUGUUGUGGGCACUAUGAAUUCCUAGUUAUGUCUUUUGGUUUGACUAAUGCGCCUGCAACUUUCAUGAGUUUAAUGAAUGGAGUGUUCAAGCCAUUUCUUAAUUCAUUUGUUAUAGUAUUUAUUGAUGAUAUUUUGGUCUACUUGAAAAGUGAGGAAGAGCAUGCCGACCAUUGUUCUGGGUGUUCUUGGGAAACAAAGGUUGUAUGCUAAAUUUUUGUGUGAAUUUUGGUUGAUUUUUGUUGCAUUUUUGGGGCAUGUAGUUUCGAAAGAAGGGGUAAUGGUAGAUCCUCAAAAGAUUGAGACGGUUAAAAAUUGGGUUCGGCCUAGCUCUGUGACGGAAGUUAGAAGUUUUGUGGAACUCGCUUGACAAAUUUGACUAGAAAGGAGAUACCAUUAAAAUGGACUGAAAAAUGUGAGGAUAGCUUUCAAAAGCUCAAGACUUUUUUUACCACCACACUUAUUCUAGCAUUACCGUUGAAGGUAAGGAUUUUAUUGUUUAUUGUGAUGCUUCAUAUUCUGGUUUGGGUGUUGUGUUAAUGCAGGAUAAGAAUGUUAUAGCCUAUGCGUCGCGCCAAUUGAAGGUGCAUGAGAGGAAUUAUCCAAUGCAUGAUUUGGAGUUGGCUGCGGUAGUAUUUGCUCUUAAGAUCUGGCGGCAUUAUCUUUAUGGCGUUAAGUGUGAAGUGUUUACUGAUCAUCGUAGUUUGCGACAUGUGUUCACUCAAAAGGAUUUAAAUUUGAGACAACGACGGUGGAAGAAGUUGCUUAAAGAUUAUGAUGUCACCAUUCAAUACCAUCUGGGUAAGGCUAAUAUGGUGGCAUACGCUUUGAGUUGAAAAACGAUGAUUAUGGGGAGUUUAGCUUGCUUAAGUGUAACUAAACGACCUUUGGCUAAGGAAAUUCAGACCUUAGAGUCUAAGUUCAUGUAGUUGGGUAUCUCAGAAAGAGGUGGGGGUGUUAACUAGCAUUGAAGUAAGGGCAAGGCCAAACAAUUUGAGGAUGAGAAUUUGAAUGAACUUAAGAAGAAGACUGCAAUUGGUAAGGCACAAGAGACCACUCUUGAUGCAGAAAGUGUGCUCAAUUUUAAAGGGAGAAUCUAUGUACCUAGAGUAGAUGACUUGAUAAAAAAAUUAUUGGCUGAAUAUCAUGUUCGCGAUAUUCUAUUUAUCCGGGUGUGACGAAGAUGUAUUGAGACUUGAAGCGAAUUUAUUAAUAACUGGGCAUGAAAAUGGAUAUAACGAAGGUUGUGGCUAAGUGUCAAAAUUGCCAACAAGUGAAGUAUGAACAUCAAAGGCCUGUAGGUUUGCUUCAAAGAAUGCCAAUUUUGGAAUAGAAGUGGGAAAUGAUAGCCAUGGAUUUUGUGGUUGGUCUUCCCAAGACUUUGACGAAAUUUGAUAAUAUAUGGGUAGUGGUUGAUAGAUUGACCAAGUCAACCCAUUUUAUUCUGGUAACAAUAGAUUAUAAUGCUGAACAAUUGGCUAAAGUUUAUGUGAAAGAGAUAGUGAGGUUGCAUGGGGUGCUCUUUUCUAUCAUCUCAGACCGUGGUACCCAAUUCACAUCCAAGUUUUGGAGGAAAUUGCAUGAUGAAUUGGACACAUAACUCAUUUUUAGUACAUACAGACGGACAGUCAUAGAUGACUAUUCAAGUGUUAGAAGACAAGUUGAGGGCAUAUGUGAUUCAUUUUGGAGGGCAUUGUGAUAAGUUCCUACCUUUGUUUGAAUUCUCCUAUAAUAAUAGUUAUCUCUCCAGCAUAGACAUGGCACCAUUUGAGGUACUUUAUGGGAGGGGAUGUAGAUCACUCAUAUGAUGGUUCGAGGAUGGAGGUGUGAAACCUUUGGUGGUUGAUUUAGUGAAGGAUGUUUAAGAUAGGGUGAGGGGUAUUCGAACUAAGCUUCUAGCAGCCCAGAGUAGACAAAAGAAGUAUGCGGAUCAUAAGGUAAGAGACAUGUCGUUUCAAACUAGUGAGAAUGUUCUUCUUAAGGUAUCACCCAUGAAAAGGGUGAUGAGAUUUGGCAAAAAGGGCAAACUAAGUCCGCAAUACAUUGGUCCCUUUGAGGCUCUUGAAUAUGUAGGGCCGAUGGCGUAUAGAUUGGCUCUACUUCCUAAUCUAUCUGGUGUUCAUCCGGUAUUUCAUGUGUCCAUGUUGAAGAGAUAUCAUGGUGACAAGAUUACAUCAUUAAAUGAGAUCAAUUGUGCUAGACAAAGACCUCAAAUAUGAGGAGGAACCGGUUGCAAUUCUUGAUCGUGAUAUGCAUAAGUUGAGGACCAAUGAGAUUAAGUCCGUGAAAGUUCAAUGGAAGCAUCGUCCAGUUGAAUAAGCUACUUGGAAAACCGAGAGAGACAUGCAAGACAAGUAUCCCCAAUUGUUCGUCGAUUCAGGUACUACUUUGUUAUUUCCUUAGCCUAUUUUCCCUAAGUUUGUCACUCGAUGACGAGUGAUGGGUAAAUUGGUAUCUAUUGUAAUGAUCGGGUUUCGUCGUAAUAGAAAAGCCAACGGGGAAAAUUUUUGGGUUGGAAAAUUUUUCGUAGUGACUUGAAAUUUUCCAACCUAGUCAAGAUUUUGACGAAAUCGCAGUCAUUAAGGUGUAGGGAAAUCUGGUAGCAAUGGGGGGACUUAUUUAUGAUUUUGAUUACAUGAGUAGAUAGCCAACGCGUUAAGGAAUCCGUACGACUUUACGAAAUUGAAUUCGGGUGAGUAGAACUCCUGAAACUGACUUUGGCAUUAAUUGUAUUUUCUAAGUGUCGUUGGUUGAAGGUGUGUUGUAAAAUGGGGGUUUUGAGAAUUAUUAAAUAGCUCACUAUCUCUUGCAACCCGUUUUGGCGGGGAUUUUGGUCGCUCUGGUGGGGCUGCUGUAGCGGGGUGAGGGCCGCUGUGGCGGGCCCGACGCGACUUAAAGUCGUAAAUAAAUCUCAAAAACAUUUUAUUCUGCACUUUUAGACUUUGAGAGCUAAGGAACGACUCCAUACGACUUCUUGACAGUUUUCACCAUUCUUGAUGCUAAAGGUAAGAUUUUAACUCCCCGAAUCCAUUUUUCAAUUCAUAGAAUGUAAUCUAAUGAUUAAAUAUCGAUGGGGGAGGGUUUUGAUCUAGAAUUUAUGGUGGAAACAACCCUAUUUGGAAUAAUUGAGAUCAUGGGUUGAUUUAGGGUUUGUUAAAAUUGUUAGUAAUCCAGGUAAUUAAUGAUUAUUCAUUGAUUCCCGUAUUAUAUUGAUUGUUUGUAGAUCAAGAACAAGCAGAACGAAUUCGUAAAGGAAAGGAUCAAGUUUCUUAAGGUUUCAAGCUUGUUUUGAGGUAGGUGAUGGUUGUGAUUCUAUGAUUGUGUGAUGUAUGUUUGUCUUGCUUCAUUAUGAUACAUGUAUGCAUGUGGAUGUUGCAUUAUUGAUCACACUUGUUGUAAAUGAGGAUAUAUGAUUGUCGAAUGCCAUUGAAUCAGGACUUGAUUGUAGAUUACGAGAAUGUACUUGUGUUUGUGAUUGUGGUGUGUUGAAUGGAUCGGUUGCCAUGUUCCGACGUAACUAAUUGGGAUCGAUUGCCACGUUUUGGCAUAAAUAUGGGAUCGGUUGCCACGUUUCGGCAUAAUCUUUGGAUCGGGUACCACGUUCCGGUAUGCUAACUGUUUGGGUUUGAGUUCCAUAAGAGGACCAAUGACUUGUCAUAGUUGUGCAUCUUGUGAAGUUGUACGUUGUUCGUAAAUGAUAAUAUUGUAUAUGUUCGAUAUAUGCAUGUGAUUAUAUUGUUGUAUUGAUUUAUGUAUGUUGAACUUAGUGGGUUAGCCGUGUGCUCCUACCAGUACACUGUGAUUAUGUACUGAUACUGCACUUGCUCUUAUUUUUGUUGAGUACAGGGCAUCUUCAGGCGGUUAUUGCCAUACCUCAUUUAAAAGAUCAGUGAUCUUGUUCGAAUUAAAGGGUGAGCCAAUUCUUCCGGGCUGCCAUGUGUUCUCGUUCGUCUAUGUCCAUCAUUUCGGACUUAGAUUUUCUAGUUAGUUAUUAGUGCAUUAGUUUGGGGUUGUAUCCCUUCUUGUUUAGACUUGUUGAACUUUAGAUGUUUUGGUACAUUGACUUUCAGGUUCUAGGUGUUACUUCCGCAUUUGUUUAGUUGUUAGACCUUUUGUAGGAGUUCAUGGAAACUCUUUAUUUCUUUCUUAGCAUUUAACUUGCUUCCGUAACUUAAAUGUCUUAGUAUUUUGAUUAAAGUUGGUUAGGUAAUUAGUAUUAAUGGUUCUCCCACCGGAGGGUUAGUGUGAGUGUCAAUCACGAUGAUCUAGGUCGUGACAAUCUAAUCACACACCAAUCAUAUUAUUUGCUUUAUUUAUUAUCUCAACAGAAAUAAUAUUCAAAACUCAAUUCCAAACAAGUUGAAGAAUACAUACUUUAAAUAUUUUAUCAACCUUUCUUGCCCUUUUAAGUUUAAUAUUUUUUUCAUGAAAUAAUUUAAUGGAAUAUAUGAUUGUAGUAUUAUACAAUUAAUCUAUCUGUUAGUUUUAUGAUCUCUACAUUAUUAUGUUUGAAACUAAUCUUUAUAAGCAGUAAUUAAUAGAGAUUCUAGUUUAGUUAGAAAAAUACAUAGUAUAUUAAAAUAUACUCCUUUGUUCUAAGUUGUUCAAUUACAAUUAAGUAGUGUUUUCAUCACAAAUUGGUUUUGUUUGUUUUAAAUUACUGCUGAAUAUAAACUAAUUAAUAUUCUAGCAAAUAUUACUCCCUCCAUUUCAAAUUAAUUGAAUUGUUGAGAUAUUUUUCAUUUUUCAAAUUAAUUUGAUUGUUCAAUUUUCAAGAUUACUUUUGAAAUGUUCUUCCAAUUUUACCCUUCAUUAGUUAAUAUUGGAAUUAGUUAUUAAUUAGUAUUUAGUUAUUUUAAUCAUAAAUUUGAAAAUAAUUAAUAAGUGUAAAAAUGAUAAGUUAUGCUUAAUUUAUGUUUUAAUCUACUUUUCUUAAAGGGUGUGAAACGCCUCAACCAUUUAAUUAACGAAGUCUUUGUCUUAUGUAAUAUUUUAAGCACGGCUGCCAUUAGAGUUACUAGUUAUAAUUUGUUGGUGGUGCUUAAAAAAUUACAAAGACAAAGACUUCUUUAGUUAAAUGGUCGUGGUGAGAUAAUAAUUUUUUUUAAAAAAGGCUUAAUUUAUGUUAUUUACUCUGUUUAUUUUUACUUAUCCAUUAUAACAAAACAAAAUUUUCACUAUUACUUGUUAUUACUUUUGACAUUUUUAGAAAUAGACAAUUGUUUAAUUUUUUGUUUUACCCUUAGCAUUAAUUAUAUAUUUUCCAAGACUUAAUACUCCCCCCAUUCCUAUUUAUAUGUCACCAUUUUAGAUUUCAUGUGCAUUAAGAAACUAAGUAAAGUUACCAUUCUACCCUUAUUUAGUGUUUUUUUGAAGUCAAGUUUUCAAUCAAUGAACACGAAUUAAAUUAUUUUGAUUAAUUAAUUUGACCAACGAACAUAAAUUGUUUAUUUAGUUUUUCUAUGUUGGUCAAAUGUAUAUUUUCAGAGCUAAUUAAUAACUCACAAAGGUAAAAUAGAAAGAAUAUGGUCAUUUAUGCAUUGAUUUUGCGAAAGACGACAUACAAAUAUUAAUGGAGGGAGUACUAAACAUCAAUUAAUAAGAAUAAUAAAUAAUCAUGUUAAUCAUUGUUUUGUUAAUGGAUGUGUCAAGUCCAAAUUAAAUAUGAUAAGUAAAUUGAAUUGAAGAAUUAUUUGACAAAAGAAGAAGGAGAAACUACCUAAUUACACAAAAAAUUCAUACCUUAUUAAUUCUCCAUGUAGUUAUAUUUUAUAUCACUAAUUGAUAAUUUCAUAUCAUAUCCCAAAUAUUUGCGAAUCCACUUAGAUAUAGUAUAUUUAGAACAAAUUACACCUAAUUUUGAUUUGUGUGUAUAUCCCAAAUACUUGUCAUUAAUUAUUUAUAAUAGUGCUAAAAAAUAAAGUCAACAUAAGAUAAAUUGUACAAUUAUGUGCUUAUAUUAUAUAGAGCUAGAAAAGAAAUUAAAUAUGUGAAUUUUUGGUUAGUAAAUUAAAGAUGGCAGAUGCAGUAAUGACUUUGCUUGUGGAGAGCUUGUGUCAACUAAUCACUGAAAAAGUGAAGCUGAUUGGAGGUGCAAAGGAUGAGUUGGAUAAUCUGCUGCAAGUAAUUAACACACUGAAAGCAUUCCUUCAGGAUAAUGAUCAACAAGAAAGCAACAGCAAUUCGUGGAAAACAUUUGUGAAGAAUAUCCGAACACAAGCGCAUAAAGCUGAUGACGUUAUUGACAAAUUUGUACUUGAGGCGAAGCUGCAUGAAGAAAAAAAUAUAUGGAAAAAAACUUUAUCUUUCGGCAGGCAUAUCAAAAGAGUUAAUAAUCUUGCAAAAGGUAUCAAAGAUAUCUGUGAGAAGGUGAAGGUGAUUCGCCAAGAAAAUCCACAAGUUCUCCAGCCCAGACCAAUGCUAAAUCUACCCAGAAGACUUGCAAGGGAGCCUCAGGUAAAUUAUAAAUAAAAAGAAUAUCACUUGAUUUAUGUUGGGUAUUAUUAUAUGCCCUGAGUUUCUUACCAAAAUAGAUUUUUCUUUUAGAAAAAAGUUUAAUAUUUUGACGGGUCCUUUUCUUGUAUGAAAGGUAGGUUUAGACUCUAUAAAUAUAGAUUUGUUCUUUCUAACUUAAUCAACAUUCACAAUGUAAUUCUAGGGGCUUUGACAAUUUUCGUUAGGGGGAGAAUUAGUACUAGGUUAUCGCUUGUGUGAACUUUCCAUGUAUUCCGAGUGAAUUUGUUUCUCUCUAUAAUUUUUACUCUCAUAUUUAUAGUGGAUUGCUCAUCUCCUUUGUGGAUGUAGGUCGACUGACCGAACCACGUUAAUUAAAUCUUUGUGUCUUUUGAUAUAUUUCUCGUAUGUCUUCUUACUCGUGGUCUUUCUAAUUUGCUUUGCUAGCUUCCACAUGACAUCUGCUUAUUUCGAUCCUAACACAACUCUUGUAGGCUCCAUCAAUAUUUAGUUUAACAUUAGAGCUAGAGAUAGCAGAAUUUGGAGUGUACAUGAAUUCCAAGGUUUAUGGACAUGAGAUGGGCUUUGGGAAUUUGUCUAGUAUUGACCUUCAUUCUUCUUUUAUUCUGCUAUUCUUUUUUUAUAUUUUUACCAACUGUUUUACUUUAAUUUUGAAAAUUUGAAGAGUUUUUUUUAUAGAUAUUUUAAAAAUCAUUAUAGAAAAUUUGCAGAAAAUCAAGCAAUUAUAAUAGUUGUUGCAUAACUAUUACAGUUGUUGUAGUUGCCGCAACAACUACGAUAAUUGUUCAGGCUUUCAGCAACUACAAUAGUUGUUGUAGAAGGUAUUGUAAUUGUUGCAACUUCAACCGCAGUUUGAGUUGCUGCAAUAAUUGUUGAAAGGGAAAAAAAGCAUGAUAUACCCCUUAAUUUUGUCAUUAAGAGUUGAUAUAUCCAUCGUUAUAAAAGUAUUUCAUAUAUACCCCAUAUUGUUACACAAAUGACUCACAUAUACCCUUUUCUUCUGACGGAAGUGAAAAAAGUAAUUUUUUGUUAAUUUUUUAAUCAAAAAGAUAAUUCAUGUAAGGUAUAGUUAAUCCUUCUCACACAUUUUCUUUUUUUACUUUUUUAAUCCAACUAUUAAUUUGAAUUUAUUAUUUUGAUGGUCAAUUUUUUUCACUUAUUUUCUUGUAAAAUUUAUUAUGAAUGCUCCAUUUUUUUUUGCAUAGUGUUAUAUAAACUAAAUUACAAUAUAGCCACAAAAAAAUUAAUUUUAAUUUUUUUUUCCUCUUUUUUCAUUCACACUCCUUUUUUUAUGUCUCUUAUUUUUUACACUAAUGAAUGAAAGAAAAAAAAAAUGAAAUAAGAAUAAGAAACUUAAAUAAUACAUAAAUAAAGAAGUCAAAAAAUAAUUUAUGUGUGAAAAAGAUCAAAUACAUGAUUUUUUAAGAAACUAAAAAUUAAAAAAAUAAGUUAAAAUUAAUUUUAUCAUUUUUGUAACGGUAGGGAUAUAUGUGAAUCACUUUUGUAACGAUAAGAGUUAUAUGUGAGCCAAUUUUGUAACGAAAGAGGUAUAUGUGAGCCACUUUUGUAACAAGGGUAUAUCGGCUCUAAAUGACAAAGUUGAGAGGUAUAUCAAGCUAUUUUUCCUUGUUGAACUUGUUACAACAGACGGUGAUUGUGAUGACAUGUGUUGGUAUUGGUGUGACAACAAAAGAGGCAAUAGUGGUGAUGGAGGAAGAAGAAGAAGAAGCAGUGGAGGUGGAGGAAGUGACGGUGAUUGAGGAGGAAGAGAAGAAGGUGGUAGAAGAGUGAGAGGAGGAGGUAGUAGAUGUUGAAUCCCUCUUCGGCUACUUUGUGUUUCUAUUUCUUCAGAUUUUGAACCCCCUUAUUGAAAAUCUUGUUUCCGCCAUCGGUGACGACAACAACAAUAGAAGGGGUGGGGACAACGACAUCAAUAGAAGGGAGGGAGGAGAAGAUACAAUCUUUGUGUAGAUUAUAAAACUUGAGGGUUUUAAAAUUAGUGUUAUUACCGUUUUUUUUAAAGCAAAUUUACCACUAGACAUUGUCUAGCGGUCUUUUAUUAAACAUAAAAAAUAUCAAUAGGGACAAGUACAAGCAAAGGGGGCUAGGCCUUACCUUACUAAUUCUAAUGAAAUACCUAACUUCUGCUACCUAACAAGCAUGAAGAAAACAAGAGUUAGAGAGAACUAAGUAUUUUCUGAUCAUCAUAGAGUUUGUAAUACACUCCAUAAUGAUAUUACAAAUGAGGAUGCUUAAAUAAUGUAAAAUAUAUCAAUCAAGAAGAAAGUUGAGUUACCAGCCUCAAACUUUCUAUUACAAAAGCAUGAAUUAAAAAAGAUUGAUUGUCCAUUAAAAGUAACUUGAAAUAUUUUUCUCUUGGUCUUCUUCUUCAAACCUAUCCAACAACACUUGAUGAUUCAUACCUGAAUUUAUUGGAUCUAGUUGAACCUAUUGAUACUGUCAAAUGGUUUUGCUUUGCCCUAUCGCAUUGGUAGGUGCCUUGGAACAAACUCCUCAGUCAUUUUACCGUCCCAACUAUGUUGCCUUCCAUGUGUCUUCUUUUUGCUUUUGUUGCUUCCACUUCUUUGUUGCCUAGGUGAUAUAUCCCCUUCUCUAGCCACUCUAUCAAAGCAAAUGUCCAGAAUAUUGUCUCUUCAUCUUCAUCAAGAGAAUCCUCGCCCAAAUCCACUCCAUUUUCAUCAAGAGAAUUCUCACCCAAAUCAAUUGUAUUUGACAUUAAGGCCUUUGACUCAUUCUUCUUUGCAAUCACACAUUUAGGCACAAAUACGAGAGCUUCUGGACUUAAUUUUCUAUUUAAAGUAGGUGGUGAGACUUGUUUUUUCUUGGAUUAAAUCAUUGUCAUUCUCGGUUAACCUUACUUGCUUUUCAAUAGUCUUCAAUAAAGCAUCAAAGGCGCUAUUCAAACAUAAUAGGUCUCUUGAGGUAUUACUAGUAUCUUGCCUCUUCUCACUGUCAUGAAAAUUUCCAGUCGGACCCUUUUCACUACAUGGAGAAUUAUUUUGACUAGUAGGGGAAAGGAUCCAACUACUAGUUGAUUUGUUGUGUGCAACUAGUGUCUAGUUUUUGGUUGGAUUUUUGUUUUCAACUUGCAAAACAUGCUGCCCAGAAUUUUUAGCAUCUUCAACAUCAGAUGUAUCCAUUAGUUUUUGUCCUGAAUCCAUUAAUUUUUGCCCUGAAUCAACUCGCGGCGCAUCAAUCCCAACUCUUGGUGUUCCCCCUACGUUUUUAGUUGCAUUAGACCUCAAAUUCAUCCCAACUUCUUUUGAUUGCACCUCAUUAGUAGUAGCAUGUUGGUUAUUGCAAUCACCUUUGUUUUCGGUAGUUGUUUGAACACCAAUAUUACUUGUAUCAACAUCCAUUGAGUCUACACGAUUUUGCUCGAAAGUGGAAGCAACCAAUUGUCGAUCUAAAGAAGUAGCUUUACUUUGAUCGACAUCUACAGUCUUUCUUUUCUCAUUUAAUAUUUCUCUUGCAUCGCCUUGAUACUUUUCACUAUUGGUAGUACCUUUUAAAGCACCUUCAAUGGUAUCAUUAAUUUGUUUGUUAUUUUGAUUUCUUUUUGAAAUCAAACGACAACUAUUUUCAUCAUGACCUUGGUGCUUACAAUAAUUGCAAUACAAUGGUAGAUUAUCAUAUACAAUCUCCUGAAAAACCUCAAUCUACUUACCAGAUUUUUCAUCCACAAACUGCAAUCUUAUACGAUUUGGAAGCUUUUCCAUUAGAUCAAGUAUAACCUUGACCCUAGCCAUGUUAGGUCUUGACCUGAUUUGAGUAGCUUUAUCUAUAGCUAUUGGUUUCCCAACUGCUGAUGCUAUAGACAACAAAGACUCGUUUGCUAACAAAUCUAGAGAUAAGUUCGGUAAAGAAAUCCAAACCACAUCUAACGUCGUUUCCUCCUUAGGGUUAUAUCCAAUGGAUCAUGGAAAAACCCUACAUUGGUGCUCGUCUCCAUUGUAGAGAAGAUAGUUAACUGAGCGAGAUAAAACUAGUACAUAAUCUUCAUAUUAAUCAAACCUCAACAAAAUUUGUCUUGGAGCAAGUAAGCCAAUUAAACAAUUGCCCUUGGUACCAAGAUGUUUCGGUAAAAUUGACCUUAAUACCUUCAAAUCUAGCGCACCAUGGGAUAAUUUAAACACCAUUGCUUGAUGUAAACCCUCUUCGAUCAUAAAGUCUUGGUUUUCUUCCAUUGAAAACGUGAUAGUAGGUUCUCCAUGAAUUAUUUCGAUUGAUUUUACAAUUGUUUUGAGUUAAUUAGGGCAGAUUGUUUAGGAUUUAUAGUAUUGGAAUUGAAAAGGGUGGCGUAUGUGGUGGUUUAGGGUGGUGGGACGGGCUGUACAGCCUCGAAAGGAGGCUGUCCAGUGGCCGUACCAGCCAUGAUAGAUGCGCAGCUGCUGCCUAUGUAGGAGCCACCAGAAACCCUAGGUUGGCAGUUUUUCCGUCGCAAAUAUUUGGACUGGCGCUCCAGUGAUUCUGUGUGUUAUUACCAUUAAUCUUACUAAAAACUGUUUUUUUUUUCCGAAUUUAUACCACUAGACAAAGGGUCUAGGCGGAAAAUAUUUAAGCCCAAUAAAACAUGAGAAAAAUUGAAAAACAUUUAGUGAAAAUGUUUUCCUUCCUACCAAACACACUAAUUUAGUGAAAAUGUUAACGUUGUUUCUGAACAUGAUGAUAGUUAUUCUCUUUUGUUUUUGGAUUAAAUAUUUAUGAGAUUUCUUCAAAGUUGCUAAAUUAUAUUACUUGUAUGGUGGUUUUAGUUGUUAUUGCAAAAAUGAAAAGAUUUUGAGCUCUGUUUUUUGACAUAUCCAAUCUUAAUAGGCUACAUUCUUGGAGGUUAGAAAUAUCGUUGGGUUCACUACAGAAUCAAAUGAAGUGAUGGAGCGGCUUGUUGGAGGAACAGAGGAGGUAGAAUGCAUACCUAUUGUGGGUAUGACUGGACUUGGCAAAACCACACUGGCAAGAAAAGUAUGGAGUGAUUCUCAGAUUACAGCUAUAUUUUCCAAGAUCAUUUGGGUUUCUGUCGGACAGUCCAACGAACUAGAGGAUAUCUUUUUUGUGAUUCUCAAAUCAUCUACGGGACCCAAUCAAGAAUUUCGCUUGACUGGUGAGAAUGAACUAGCUAAAGUAAUAGCUAGUUUUGGGACUGAACAACACAGGUGUCUCAUUGUGUUGGAUGAUGUGUGGGCGAGUGAACUUGUAGAUUUUUUCAAAAAUGUUCUUCCAGAAAACAAGAAAAGACAUAGGAUCUUGAUGACCACUCGCCGCAGAGAUUUGGCUAGCUGUGCAAGUGAAAGACCUUAUCAUCUCAAGUUUCUCACUGGAGAAGACAGUUUUCGGUUGCUGGAAAAGAGAGUUUUCGACAAUGGAAGGUGUCAAAAUGAUUUAGUAGAGCUUGGAAAGAGUAUUGCAAAUAAAUGUGGUGGAUUACCACUUGCAUUAGUGGUAAUUGCUAGAGCUUUAAAAGUUAUUCAGAAUGUAUAUGAAUGGAAAAGGAUUGAGAACAACUUUUGGCAGUAUGUUGUGAGAGAGAAUGACACAACAAGCUGCUGGAAAAUUGUGGAAGCCAGUUAUGAAAGUUUGUCCUCUGAAAUGAAAACGUGCUUCUUGUAUUGCCUAGCCUUUCCUAAAGGCUACGAUAUUCCUGUUCAGAUGUUGAUUCGCUUGUGGAUGGCGGAGGGGCUAAUAGAGUCGAGUCCAAUAAAUUUCUCUUCCUCUGAGGACAAAGCAGAUAAUUAUUUGAUGGAGUUUGAGAAUUUGGACCUUGUGAUAGUGUCGAGAGAGAUUACUGGUUCGAUAAAAAGGGUUAAAUGUAAUGAGAUGUUCUAUGAGUUCUACAAGAUGGAGGUGACUAAAGAAAGUGUUUUUCAAGAACUACGUCUCACACCUGAUUUUCCAUCGAUAAAUGAUCCAGAUACUUCUCGUCGAUUGCAUAUUGAAUCAUGUGAUCUGCCAGAUUUUAUCUCCAGAAUUUCCAGUGCAGAACAUGUUAGAUCUUUCUUAUGUUUUUCCUCGGAAGAUCUAGACCAACAAACCAACUUAUCCUCUCAUGUUGACAUUCAACUCAUCCGGAAAGCAUUUCCACUUCUCAGGGUUUUGAAAAUUGAAUCAAUCAACAUUCCCUCCUUGAAGAAUCUUAACCUACUAUUUCAUCUGAGGUACAUUUCUAUCUCAGGUAAUUUCAAGGAACUUCCUGCAUUCUUUAGUAAGUUUUGGAGUUUACAAUCUAUUAUAGUUAAUACAUCCCAGCCCACUCUCAACAUAAAAGCAAAUAUAUGGAACAUGCCAAAGUUGACGCAUUUGAAGACCAACAAACCUUCUAAAUUGCCUCUCCCUUCAACCCAAAAGGGAAAAGGUUCCUCCUCCCUGCUGCAAACUCUUUCUAAGAUUUCACCAGAAACUUGCAACAAAGCUGUGCUCGGACAGGCUUCGAACAGCCUCAAAAAAUUGAGUAUUCAAGGGAAAAUAGAAGAUUCUCUUCAAACUAACAGUGACCGAUUCAGCACUUUUGAAGGGUUUCAAACUUUAGAAAAGUUUGAGUGCCUAGAAAAUUUGAAACUGGUAAGUGAUGUUCCUUGCCAUACUAAUGAUUUUCAGUUUCCGAAAGCAUUAUUCAGAUUUCUACUCAAGCUUAAGAAGUUAACUUUGUCAAAGACAAUGUUUGAUUGGAAAGAUGCAACUAAACUAGGGCAACUGGAAUGCCUGGAGGUCCUCAAGUUGAAAACUGAUGCAUUCACAGGGAAGUCAUGGAAUCCGGAGAAAGGUGAUUUUCGAAAACUGCAGGUCUUGUGGAUUCAUAGCAAUGACCUCCAUACUUGGGAGGCUUCAGGAUCUCACUUCCCCAAACUUAGGGUACUUGUUCUUGAGUGUCCUAAGCUUGAGAGUGUGCCAGCUGAACUAUCUCAGUUUCAGCAGCAGAGUUAAUUAAUGGCCCUGAAAACAUGCUCCGUAAAGCAUCAAUUCUUAGCUCAUUUGUAUUUCUCCGGCGUGAAGCUGAUCCCAGGGACACUCAGUGAAGUUAAAAGGUCAGUUAAAAUUUAUUGUCUUGAAAUGAUUAUAAAUCUCCAUUUCCAUUUUACUUGGCUGCUGUUGCGUCCAAAUGCACACACAAGUCCUCACGGUCGUACAAGUAGUAUAGGAUUAUGAGUCCAAAUAUCGUAUUCACAGAGACUUCAUGUCCAUUAAACUAUAGAAUUGCGCGGUAGUUUUAAAACUUAUCUGAAACAGUACUCUCCUUUUUAUUGCAGGGAAGUUUGAUCAGGACACUUUGCUGGGAGCCCGGGAUCAUGGACAGAUCUCUUUAAUAUGGUCAUGUCACUGUGUCUCAUGCAUAUUUUCUGUAAUCUUGUAAGAUCAUUACAAUGAAGAAUGCUUCUUGUCUUUUGUUUAUUCAAGUUAAUAAUAAUAAGUCUCUCCAUGAUUUGACAUUUGGAUUUGUGUGGUCUACUAAAUGUUCAAAGACAUGUUAUGAAUCUCAAGUAUUUAGUAUGUAUAAUCUUUGUGAUGAUAUUGGUUAUUUUUAAAGAGUUAUAACUUAGAUACACUCGUUUGUGUAUCUUGUUUUGUUUAUAUAAUCAGAUCAUUUCCAACGCACGCUAACUUCAUCACCUAGUAAUAGCUAAUUACUCUGGGUUUACGUCGGUCAGGAUUACAGAAUAAAGGAUAUUCUUCUCAAAUUCUUCACGAAACGCAUAGGAGAUCAUGUCAAUGAGGAUGAGGAGACAUUAGCUAAGGUAAUAAGUGAUUUUACAAGUAAAAGAGGGAGAUGUCUAGCUCAUUGUGUGGGAAGCACAAGUUGUUGAUGCUAUAAAGAGAGUUUUCCUAAGAAACAAAAAGGGGCAUCGAAUCAUGACAGAUAUCUGGCUUCGUAUGCCAAUCCAUAUCCUCAUAAUCUGAAAUUCUUGAAUGAAAAUGGAAGUUUUGAAUUGUUGGUAAAGAGAGUUUUUGACAAAGGAAAUUGUCCUGUUGAGUUAGUUGAACUUGGACAAACCAUUGCACGAAAAUGCAAAGGAGUAUGUACCACUUGAAAUAGUGCUGAUUGCAGGACUAUUAAGAAGUCGUUCGAACAAAAGCGACUGGGCAAGAACUGAAAAAAAUGUGUCCCAAUAUCUUUAUAAAGAGAAUAAAGAUUGUGGUACUGUAUUUGUAGAGAUGAGUUACAAUCGUUUGCCUCAACAAGUGCAGAUGUGCUUUUUGUAUUGUGGUGUCUUUCCACCGGGCUUUGAUAUUCCUUGUUUAUUGAACUUUUACAUGAUUCCAACUUUCAACCAACAGGCCCUAAAGUUUAUUGAACUUUAAGUGAUUCCAACUUUCCAAUGCUCUCUAACAAAGACGGUUAUGUACCCAUAACUAAUUACUUUGUUGUUACUAUUAUUUAUAGUAAUAACUAGCUAGCAAUGUGAAAUGCAGUUUUACCAGAUUCAGAGAGUUAGUUAAGAAAAUUGUUAACUAAUUUACAGCCUUUAAGUAAUUAGUUGAUUAGCCAAUCAGAAAGUUAGUUAAGAAAAUUGUUAGUAUAUAUAUAUGUACACAUCUGCCCUGACAAUGUCGAUUCUGCAAGAAAAAAUAUUUUAUCAACUAGACGAAAUUAUGUCGAAUUUUGACAAAAGGAUGGAUGCAACACUAUAAUAAAAGAACCUUUUGUGGCGACGCAAAUCUCCAUAGAAAGUCAAAAUAUCGCCACGAAUAACCUGUCGUGGAGACCCAUGGGUCGCUCGCUAUACUAAGUGGUUGAUACUUUUCUGUGGCAACAACAUAAGUCGCCACCAAAGGUUUAAUUUUUUGUGGCGACUAAUGCCACCACAAAAAUGUAUUAAAUUUGCCACAAAAACCACCCAACAAAAAAGGUAAAUUAUUGGAAAAAAGUGAAUAAUUAUUUUGUUUUUAAUUCAAUUAUUUAAUGACAAUUAUAAUACUUUCCACUUUUCAGAUACACCUAUAACGUUGGAAGUGAGAGGUGCUUACCAUUCGAGCAACUCUCUCUUGUUUGUCAUUAUUUAUUUUAUUUUUAAAUUCAUUCAUUUUUUUCAUAUUUAAUUUUUAUAGAAAUAAUAUAUUAUAUCAUCAUUUAUACACAUACACAAAUGCACGAAAUUUACCACCCACAUUUCAUUCAAAUAUAGAUUAGAUUUGAUGUCUAUCAAUAACUGGCAAAAGUUUGCACCAUAGAUUUUUCUCAAUACAAACCCCAUAUUGUAUUUGUCUUAUAUGUUAUGGUACUAAAAGACUAAAUAGCUGAAAGUCAACCUCUUCUUAUUUUUACAUUAACUAAAUCAAAGAUGUACACAAGUGUUUGAUAUGAGAAAAAAUAUUUUUAUAUUUUCUCAUUUUGGUGGGUUUAUAUGUUUGUGUAUGUGUACAUAUAAAUUUCACUUAUAUCUUAUUUUGUAUUAUCUAUAAAGAUAAAUGAGUUUUAAUUGUCACUAACAAAAUAUUACUUAAUUAUUAUUUAAAAUUUACUUAUCCUACAAAUAAAUGAUUUUUAAAAUUUAUUAUAAAGUCCACUACUAUUCUUGUUAAUUAUUUUUUGUAUUACAUGAUUGAAACAUGUUUAGACAGUUAUAUUUGUUAUUUUACUUAUCUAAAUGUAUAUUAGAGUUUUGAUUAUUAUUAAUUAGUUAAUUUUUUCUUAUUUUGCUUAUGUAUGUUAGUAUUGAACAUCAUCAACUUAUAUAUACUCUGUUAGUAUUUCAAUAGAAUUGAUAAUAUGCGGUUAGUAUUAAUACAAAAAGAAAUAAUGGAUAUAUAUUGCUUUUGAAAAGAAAAGUAAAUAUUUCAAAGUAGUUAGUUUUAAAGUAUUUAAUAUUUAUUACUACAUUAAAAGAAGUUAAGGAUAAAUUAGUGAGUAAAAUCUCUUAUUAUAAUAAUUAAAGGUCGUUUAAAAUGAAAAUGUGACAACUAAAAUAUGAUGAAUAUAGUAUAUACAUUUUUGACUAAAAUAAGUAACAAAAUAUAUGAAACUACUCAUAAUGCUUCAUAAGUAAGUCUACCACUAUUAAAACUUUUUAAUAUAUAAUUUUGAAGGAGCUAAAUUAAUUAAAAUAGGAUGGAAGAAAUAUCAAAUUCCUAUAAAUACUUAUUUAGUACAAAUAAUGGACGAAACACAUUAGUAAUAAAACUUUGAACUUACAUCCAAAAUCUUUAUAAAAACGAUAGAAUUAGUGGAGACUACAAAGUUGCCACCAAUCCUCUUGAGUGACGAUGAAGUAGCCACCAAAAGACCUUUUAUAUCGACAAUUUCUUCGUCGCAACCAAUUAAUUUUUCAGUCAUAAUUUAGUAGGAUUAUUUGUGGCGACGGUGAUUAAGUCGCGGCUAAAUCUAUGCAUUUUGUGGCAACACUUGUCACUGAUGAUUCAUCUCUUUUUGUGGUGAUGAGAUAAGUUGUCACAAAAGCUCUGAUUUCUUAUAGUGCAACCGGAGGACUUCCCAAAGGGUUACCUAUCUUAGUAUUUUCAUUCAAGCUCGCUAAUUAACUUCGGGGUUCUGAUGAAAUUUUAUGUGUUAAGUACUAGUAUGAUCACAAUUCACUUCACCAUUCCUCACACUCUAAAUUCUAUUAAGCUUUUUACCUCUCCUAAGCCUCCCCCCCCCNNNNNNNNNNNNNNNNNNNNNNNNNNNNNNNNNNNNNNNNNNNNNNNNNNNNNNNNNNNNNNNNNNNNNNNNNNNNNNNNNCCCCCCCCCCCACCCUGCACGCACCACCAUAUGGUACCGCCUGUCAUAUCCAUUCUACGCGUCUCUAUCACCUGUCCUGAUGACAUCUCGAUCUAGUCACUAUAUAUCAUUUCUACGAACAAAUAUAUUAUUAGAUAGAUAAAAUUAUGUCAAAUUUCGACAAAAAAAAAAGAGAGGAUGUAACAUGAGUUCAAUUGCUAAAUGACUUUAAAAAUCAAAACCUGUUAUUUUAUUCAUUGGAUAUGCUUAAAUAUUAAGAUUAAAAAUACAUAGUUGAUCUAGUAAUUUGACUUUGUGUAUAAUCAUACUCAGAGUAUAACCCAGGGAAAAUGCAUAAGUACCCCCCCAGCCUAUAUCCGAAAUUCCAAAGACACACCUAACCUUUACUAAGGUCCUAUUACCCCCCGAACUUAUUUUAUUUGUAAUAUUCUAACCCUUUUUGGCCUACGUGGCACUGUCUUGUGGGCCUAGCGCAUGUUGAUAUUUUUUUUCAAGGAUAGUGCCACGUAGGCCGAAAAGGGGUAGAAUAUUAUAGAUAAAUUAAGUUCGGGAGGGUAAUAGGACCUUAGUAAAGGUUAGGUGUGUCUCUGGGAUUUCGGGCAUAGGCAGGGGGGGUACUUAUGUAUUUUCCCUAUAACCCAUGAUCAUCACAAAGUUGACCUAGUACACCUUGUCCCCAUUAUAUCACACGUUCUCAAGUCGUUGAACCUCUAUAAAAUAAAAAUAGUGUACAGCUAGUUAUACUUUGUUAUUUUAUUUUAUUAUCAUAACUGGCAAUGUGAAAGGCACCUUGUAAGAUCCAAUUCUAGCUGUAAGUAAAGUUAAUAAAUUGCAAAUGAUGAUGCUACUUAUAAUUAAUUUAUAUAUAACCUCCAAUCAUGGACUUAAUUCAAUUAUUAAGCCAAAGUCAUUAUAUAGUCAAGUUAUUCCUGUGAAUUGGUUGUUGUUUGUUAAUUUAAACUUCGUAUGUGGUCAUAUGAAUUCUAUAUUUUAAAUGCGGCCAGAACAUAAAUUUAUAUAUAAAAAUUCACUCAAAGAACAAUAAUAGUAGAUGAUUUUCUUAAUUAAACAAAUAUAGGUCUAUAGUUAACAAAAAUGAUAUAUAUAUAUAUAUAUAUAUAUAUCAGUUAUUAGACGAUUUAGACCUAUAUACAUCAUUUUGUUAACGAGAGGUAUAUUUCCCCCCUUUCCCAAAAAAGUUUGCAAGUAAAUAUCCCUAAUCUAGUGUAUUGAGGCAUAUUGAUGUUAAGGUAGUUUCUUUUCUAUCUUUUUUUUUUUUUUUAAAUUUUCACCUGAUAUUUGAUAUCCUCAUUGGAGCGGAGCCCGAUUCUUUUGAUUACUCAGAACUCGAACAUGAGACAUUUGAUUAAGAGUGGAGCAGUCAAACCACUGUACCACACCCAUGUUGGUGCCACUAUUUUAUUUUUAAUAUAUAGAAAGGAUAAAAACUUCGACAAUGUGGAGGACUAGCUCCACAAUUUCUAAUUUUUUUAGGAGACUUUUGAUCAUGUAAUUUUUUUUUCUUUGGAGUUGAAUUUUGAGAAACAUAUUUGAUCAUUUUAUUUUUUAUUUCUAAAUAUGUAAUGUAAAUUAUUUCUAUUCAUUCUCACUAGUCACGAUCAACACCUAAUGAGCUAAUACCUCCCUUAGAGUUUACCAUUAUCAAGUAAAUCAUUCAAAAGAAAAUAUAAUUCAUUGUAGAUCCAAAUCAUGAAUACAUAUUGUUAGCUUAAUUCAACGAAAAGUCUAAAUAUUCCAUAAUUUAUUUAAACGAUCAUAUGUAACCCAACGAAUAAACACAGUCAAGAGACAUCUAAUAGAAACUACAUUUAAAAGCAGAAGCCAACCAUGUGUAUGCUCAAACUUGAAAUAUUCCGAGAUAAAGUGACGACAAAUAUAUUUAUUUCAUUGCUUUGGACUUUUUUUUGUUUGUCCAAACUACGAAUAGUUCGUUGCUUUGCACUUAUAUUUUUCUUCCAAGACUUGAAAGUAUUUUUGUUUGUAUUAAUUUACCAAUGAAUGGACGAAAUAUUCCAAAACUUUAAUGUAGUUGUUGGUAGUCCUAGUCAUAACCUUACAUGGAAUGCCACACUCAAUUGGGCACAAUAAUUGAGUCUUAACUAUUAUUUAAAGCAUUUUCUCACUUUUUGAGUUAAUUGUUUAUUGAUUAUCGCUUGUUGUUUUUGCUCCUUUCUGAUAGAUUUGGCACCAUUUUAUGUUGUUUACUAUCUUUUCUUUACUGUCACCCUUUUUCUUCGCUUGAGCGGUUGAGCCGAUGGUCUUUUAGAUUCCGUUUUUCUAUCUCUAUCAUGUAGUGAUAAAGUUUGCUUACAUUUUAUCCUUCUAAAAUCAGUUUAUGAGAUUUAACUGGAUAUGUUGUUGUUCGCUUUUGAAUUAAUUUAUCAGAUUGAAUUAGAUUUAAUAUUUCUUCUGUAUCAAUUUAUGUCACACCUUUUAAUUUAUUGGAUUGAAUUAAAUUUGACUUAGAAUCAAGAUCUAUUUCUUUACUUGGUAUCUUAUCAAAAUUCAUCUCAAUUUAUUUUAUCUUACUGAUAAUAGAUUCCCAAAUUAAAUUACACACACCAUAUAUUUAGCGUUGAACAUAAAAAAGGAUGUUAAAAUUUUUCAUAUCACAUGAAAAAGAGAUGAAUGAUCUCCUUAUAUAAUAAUAUAUAGCUUAGACAAUUUUUCCAUAAGAACUUAAAAAAAUAAUAUCCAAAUUGCCAAGAAACUACCUUAUAAAUAUUGAAUUGCCAGAGACCAAUUAAUGGUGUCCACUUGCAAAUAUAUUUAUGAAAAUUAUGGGCAAACAACUAGCAUUAUUAUAUUAUAUUUGUUAAAUUAUUGUUACCUAGCCGGUGCAUUUAAAUUAGAAUUAAGAAAGACUUGACUUAAAAAAAUUCAAAAGUAAAGUCAACUUAAUUUUUCAUUUUACCUUUGUUCAUAUAUACUGCAACUAUCUUCGAUGAAUUAGUGAACCUCUUCUUCCCUUCUCUUAUCUCAUUUGUAAUCCAAUUUUGUAACAUCGAUCCAAUGGCGGAUGCUGUAGUGAAUUUUCUCGUUGAGAAUUUAUUGCAGCUGUUAAGCGAAAAUAUAGAUCUGAUAAAAGGCGUAGACGAUGAAUUCAAAAAUUUACUGGAAGAAGUGCAACGCCUGAAAGCAUUCCUUGAGGAUGCUGCUAAAUUCCACAGCGAGAGCAGUUUAUGGGAUCAAUUGGUGAAAGAUAUUCAAAAAAUGGUACAUAAAUCUGAAGAUGUAAUUGAUAAAUUUCUGGUUCAAGCAAAGCUUCAUCGAGAUAAGAAUAAAGUUGGAAGAUUCUUCGAUGUCCCUCAUAUGGCUGUAGUUAGGGCUCUUGCAGCUGAAAUUAAAGGGAUUCAUGAGAAGGUGAAGAAACUUCGAGAAGACAACAAAGACUCAUUCAAGCCUAAACCAAUUCUUGACGUCCCCAAAAAAGGGCACGAAGUAACCCAGGUAUACUAAAAUCCCCAAAAAAAAAUUCUCUUUUGACACUCUUUUCUCUUUAGUCCGUGAAUAUUAUUACAUUUGCCUAAUUUUUCAACUUCAUGAUCGGUCAAAUACUACCAUAUAAAUUGAAACAAAAGAGUAAUUAUGAAUUCAUAGUGUUUUUUUUUUAUAUAUAAUUUUUAAGUAUAGAAAUUUUAUUACGCAAGACGUAAAGCUUACAUAUGUGAGUUCAUGAUUAUAGUUUAAAGGCAAAUACAUAAAUAUGCCUCAACUGAUAUUAGAUUAUUCAAAAAUUAAACAAAUAAACAGGCAUCUAAGUCAGGUGUGAGGCACAACUAGUCAACUACUACUAGUUGUGUGAGACAUUUUUUAAUUAGAAUUAUAAUGUUGCUUGUGAGAUCCACCAAUCAACUCUGUUUCUCUUCUCUUCCCUCGUUUUUUUUUUUCCACAUUUUCUGUUUUUCUCUAUUUUAAAACCAAUUUUGUUACUCUCUUAGUUUUGUUUUUAUUUGGUCCGCUACAUAUAUUUUUUGUUUUAUUUGUUUAACAAAUUAAAAGUAAAUAAUAUUGUUAUUAUUAAAUAACUAUAUUAUAUAUUAGUAGUCAUAUUUUUUAAUGUUAGUAAAUUGAAAAAAAAAUCCAAUGUCAGAAAAUUUGGGGAAGUUUUUUCAUGAGAAAAUAUCUAAUAUAACAUUCUCAAAAAGAAAAAAAUUAAAAUGAUGUUAUCAUUAAGUGUAUAGCUAUAGGUGUGUACACAGUACGGGUCUUAAUUUAAGUGUCUAAGUGAAAAAAUGACGUCAACUUUAAGUCAGUGGUGUGGCUAGAAAUUUUACUAAGAGUGUUCGAAAUCAUAGCUAAUAAAAAUAAUUUAAUGAAUGACACUUAAAUUUUGUAAUUCAAACUACUUAACAUUAAUGAUUAUUUUUUAAAAUAAAAAAUAUACCAAAAAUUUUAAAAUCAAACUACAUAAUAUUUAGCUUAAUGUUCAGUUUAUUUGAUAGGAACUGAACAGACAAAAAAAAAAAGAGAGAGGAAAUUCAGUUUAGAGUGAAAUUACUUUUAUGCUUCAAGAUUUCACGAACCUCUGAUGACUAACAACGAGAAAUGAAAAAUAAAGAGUAGAAUCAAACGAGUUAUAUUAAAAGAAAUUCUAUAUGGAGCCUUUUCACUUUUAGUAGCUUUAUGGAAGAAAGAUAAAGAAAUAAGAUUUGCUUAUUAACUUUAAAUUAAAUAAUUACUUUUAAAUUUUAUUUAAAUUUUUAAUGAAAAGAAAAAAUCAUCAAAAGUCAAAUAAAAGAUUUAUUAGUUUUGAAUUAUUUUUAAAUAAUAGAUUUAUUAACUACGAUUAAGAAAUUAAUUAGGAGCUCUUUUGAAAAUGUAAAAAAAGUCCAAUAAGGGGAGUCAAACUCGCGCACAAGAGGUUGCAAAGGACUUAGCUUGAGCUGAAUGAGUGAAAUCACUAAGCUAAGAAAUUUUAUUGUUUUUUAAGGGUGUCCAAAAUUUGUUAUUUAACCAUUUAAAAUAUCAUUUUAUAUAUGAAUACGGUGUAAUUUCCGACGAAGGGUGUCCAAUUGGACACCCUAAGCUAUGGGUAGCUACGCCCCUGCUUUAAGUAUAUGUCAAUGGGUUCAGCCAAAUAAUAAUCAUAACAUUUUUGGUUUUUUUUUAAUAUGUAUAUAAACCUUAAAUAUUUGUGGAGUUUAAUAACAAUUGUCGGUGUUUCACUAUUUUUUAGGUAUAAAUUUAAAAUGUUUGUAUUGAAGAUUUAUUUUACUAAAUUAGUUUUAUUAAUUAUAUUUUGAAAAUUUAAAUUUAAUAACUAGUACCUUAUAUAGUUAUAUAAGGAUAAUAAUAGUAUUAAUUAUGUUUCUUCCAUUUAUUUGAAAAUUUAAAUUUAACUACUAGGACUUUAUAUAAUCUUGAAGGAUGCCUUGUUUUUAGAAAGUUGCUCUAGUGGUUUGCUUCGACUCCAUUCAAUCUUUUCUGCGUGGGCUUGUACAGAACCGUCCACUUGCUCUAUCAUCAUCAAGACUAAAUCUUUAGACUCCAUAACAUUAUACAGACCGUAUAAUCAAAUUUAGGUGUUGAAGAGCGAAUGAUUUUUUCUACCAUACACAUUGUUUACUUCUUCCUCGUACCUUCUUAUAUUGGUUCACAAUAGCUAGCCAUCACUCUUGAACAUAAGUUCGAACAAAAUUUGAAUUCUAUUAUUUUUAAAACUUCAAAAUAAGUUGAAAUUUUACCUUCUCUACUUUAUCAACUCCUUGGAAAGAAUUUGUAGAAUCUCCCAAGCUUCCUUUGAGGUGGUUGUUUCAGCCACCUUCUCACACAUGCCACCAUCCAAGCAUUGGUGGAUGAGAGUGAGGGCUUGCGUAUCUCUUUUUCAUGUCUUUAUCAAGACAUCUUACUCAUUUUGGGACAUAAUUUUCUCAUUGGCGGGUUUUGAUACCCGUUGUCUACAAUUUUCCAAACAUUUUGAGAGCCUAGAAUGACUUUCUUUUUUAGUUUAUGUUUUAGCUCUCACACAUUACAAACGAUAGGCUACUCUUCAUGCAUGCCACUUGACAUUGCAGUCAUUUAGGUUCCAUGAAAUCAAUUGCUGAUUGUCAUGUUUGCGAAGAGUUAUAUCUUAUCAGUUAUCAUGGCAUUGGAUGAAGUUUAGAAUUUUAUAGUUACAAUUGCAAAAAUUAAGAAUAUUAUCUGCUCUGGUUUCUAAUGCAAUCCGUUUGAUUAUUAUGUUAAAAAGGGUCCUUCUUUGGAUGAUGAUGAAGUGGUUGGGUUUGAUGUGGAAGCUGAGAAAGUGAUCAAGCGACUUGUUGAAGGACCAGCAGAAAGUCUGAAUAUUAUUCCAGUGGUGGGUAUGCCCGGACUUGGAAAAACUACACUGGCAAGAAAAAUCUACAAUGAUUCUACACUUUCAUUUGAAUUUUUCAGCAUCCUUUGGGUUUAUGUCGGUCGGGAAUACAAAAUAAAGGAUAUUUAUCUUAGGAUUCUCAAACAUUUCAAAAACAGCAUAGACGAGUAUCUCAAUGAGGAUGAGGACAGAUUAGCUAAGGUAAUAAGUGGUUUUAUGAGUAAAGGUGGAAGAUGUCUCAUUGUUUUAGAUGAUGUGUGGGAAGCAAAUGCCAUUGAUCACGUAAAGAAAGUUUUCCCAGAAAACAAAAAGGGGCAUCGAAUCAUGAUGACCACACGUGACGGAUUACUAGCUUCUUAUACCAAUCCAGAUCCUCAUAAUCUGAAAUUCUUGACUACAGAAGAAAGUUUUGAGUUGUUGGUAAAGAGAGUUUUUGGCAAGGGUAGUUGUCCUGAUGAAUUAAAAGAAAAUGGACAAAAAAUUGCAGGAAGCUGUGGUGGAGUACCACUUGUUGUAGUGGUAACUGCAGGAGCGUUAGCAGGUCGUUCGAAUACAACUGAAUGGAAAGUAGUUGAGAGAAAUGUGAUACAAUAUGCUUUUAACGUGAAUAAAGAUUGUGGUGUAUUUGUAGAGAUGAGUUACGAUCGUUUGUCUCAAGAAUUGCAGACGUGCCUUUUAUAUUCUGGUAUCUUUCCUCGGGGCUUUGAUAUCCCUGCUUGGAAAUUGAUUCGCCUGUGGAUUGCAGAAGGGCUAAUAAAGCCCCAGCAGUCAUCCACUCUUGAGGAGAUAGCAGAGCUUCAUUUGAAUGAUCUUGUUCAUAGGAAUUUAGUGAUACUGUUGCAAAAGAGGUCUGAUGGUCAAAUAAAGACAUGUCGUCUUCAUGACAUGUUACAUGAGUUUUGCAGAACAAAGGCUGCUGACAAAUGGCUUUUUCAAGAAAUAUGUACAACAGUUGAUAACGCUGUUCCUUCUAUACAGGAUCCAGAUACUUGCCGUCGAUUGUGUAUUCAACCAUCUACUCUGAAUGACUUUCUCUCCACAAAACCUUCUGCAGAACAUGUCAGAUCUUUCUAUUGUUUUUCCUCCAAACAAAAACAAACUGACUUGUCUCCUAAUGACAUCAAACUCAUUCACAAAGCAUUUCCACUUAUGAGAGUCUUGGAUGUUGAGUCUCUCAAAUUUCUUUUCUCCAAAGACUUUAACAAUUUAUUUCAUUUGAGGUAUGUUGCUAUCUCAGGUGACUUUAAGGCCCUCCCUCCUACCUUUGGUAAAUUCUGGAAUUUACAAACUCUUAUACUUAAUACAAGUACCUCAGAGCCCACUCUUGACGUAAAAGCAGACAUAUGGAACAUGUUACAGUUGAGGCAUCUGCACACCAGCAUACCUGCAAAAUUGCCGUCCCCUACUAUCACCACAGGUAAACCUUCUUGCCUGCAAACUCUUUCUUUAGUUGCACCAGAAAGUUGCAAGAAAGAUGUACUGGCAAAGGCGUGUCAUCUAAAAAAAUUGAGCAUUCGAGGGCAAAUGGCGGCCUUUCUUGAAUCCAGGGGUGGAAUCAGCAAUCUUGAAGAGCUAAAGUGCCUGGAACAUUUGAAACUGUUGAAUGAUGUUCUUUACAUGAAUAAAACAGUUCAACUUCCUGCAGCAUUCUUCAGACUUGUACGUACAGUAAAGAAGUUAACUUUGGCAAACACAAGGUUUCAAUGGAGUGAGGCGGAAAAAUUAGCGCAACUGGAAUCCCUUGAGGUUCUAAAGUUGAAAGAAAAUGCAUUCAUGGGUGAUACUUGGAAGCCGGAGGUAGGAGGUUUUAGUAAACUCCGAGUAUUGUGGAUCGAGAGAGCAGAAUUAGAAACUUGGGAGGUGUCGAAUCUUAACUACCCCAUCCUUAGGAACCUUAUCCUUGUCUCUUGUGAUAAGCUCAACGCUGUACCAGUUGAGCUGGCUGGUAUACCUAAUUUUCGCGAGAUGAAGUUGGAGAACACAAUCAAAGCAGUCAAAUCUGCAAAAGAUAUACUGGAACUUAAGAAAUCUCAAGAAAUAAUAUUCAAGCUCAGCAUAUUCCCUCCUGAAUCUGAAUCCAAGGCCACACAGUAAAGUUGAAAGGUUAGUCAAAUUCAUUUGUAUUAUAGUAUGGCUAUAUGAUCUUUUGUUUCCAUUUGGCAUACAUUUUCCAUGACUCCAUCUAUCUCUAUACAUAUCUCAUUUAGUAGCCGUAAAACUAUAUCUUUUGUAAUAAUUUCAUUCUUCUAUUAUACAUAACAAUUUGUAGAACACUAAUUCCUUUCCUUAAAUUUUGAAUGCACUCUGCUCUUCUUUUUAUCUGCAACACUUAUCCUCUCUUUGUUUCCCUGUUGUUCUUGAACCAAUUUUCCUCCAUUCUGCAGUAGAGCAUCGGGAUUUCGAUCUGGGGUCAUGUGUAUGAUGUCGCGGCAUUUCAUGUUUUCUGUCGUCCAGUCAUCUGAUAAAAUUGUUCCAAUAAAGAAAACAUGUUUGCCUUUUGUGAUUUGUAAUAUGUUAAAUAAAUGGAGUACGUACUCCCUGGAGUUGUUGUUUUUUUCGAGUUUCUGAUCAGUUGGAGUGUUUCUUUUUUCAAUCGUAAGCAUGUUUGCUUCUUUCACUAUUCUGUUGUAUUUGAUUUGUUUCAGUGUAAAACAUACAGUUGCUUUGCCCCCAAGGCCUAGCUCAAGUGGCAAAAGGUGGAGGAUUUGUCGCUUAGGUUGCAGGUUCAAGCCCCACACCAUGCAAAGCGAAGCCCGGUAUUUAAGUGGAGAAGGGUAGAGGGGCGGGCCCAUUAUCCACCGAGUUUAGAAGGCUGUGAUUGGUCCAAAGGGCGGGUCACAGACGGAUUUCUCAGUUAUCAAAAAAAAAAAACAUACAGUUUCUUUUAUCUUUCAAUAAAAUGUUGUGUGUUUUGUUUACAACUUGGAAUCUUUCAGAUGAAUUCUAGUUAUUUCUGAAUUGGAAGGUUACAAGUUCAAAAUGCAAAUGUGCUUUAUGAUCUUUCCGUAAGAUUAGUUCAGACAAGAAAUAUUCAAAUUAUCCUCUAAUAUUCCACUUAGUGAAACUUGCUCUACUUCUAUCAGUUGCCACUGCAUUCAUUGAAAGAGCUUUUUCGACAAUAAAGUUUAUCAAGAAUGACUUGCGGAGUCAAAUUAGUGAUGAAUUUUCUAGUGGUUGGUUGAUGCCUCAUUUAGAAAACAACGUGUUUGAUAGAAUUAGUAAUAAGACAUUUAAAGUUAUGAAACCUCAUAGAAUACAAUUUUAUAAUACACGUAGGACACCACAUAGGAUACACAAUUGUCAUGUAGGACGUCACUUAGGACAAAUGUGUCUAUUUGUUCAAUUUUAUACAAGUUUAAGUGUCUACUUGUGCAUACCCAAAGUUAAAAGGCACGUUUAUGUAUUAUGAUAUUGAUUGUUUUCUCCAAGAUUUUUCACUUUGUCACAAAUCCCUUUGGUUUCAGCUGCAAGAGCCUUAAUUGUAGUGAUAUGACACACAUCAAAUAAUCUAAUUCCAACUUUAUUGUUAUCCCGUUGCAGCUUUGCCUGUACCAGAAACUUAUCAAUCAAAUAUUUAGCUUCAUCAUACAUAUCUUUUAUCGCCCUUUAUAUAAGCCAUUGGUCACCUCUAGCCUCCAGGCAUCUCAGAGAACUUCCCGUGGGACUUUGUCAUAGGUCUUUUCAUGGUUAAUGAACUCCAUAUGUAAGUCUCUCUUCUAAUUUCUUGGUAUUUCUCCACAAGUCUCCUCACAAGAUGAAUCAUGACUUUUGUAGUCGAUCACCCAGUCAUAAAUUCAAAUUGAUUCUAGUAAAUGGACACACCCCUCUCUCAACUCCAUCACUUUCUCCCAAACUUUCAUGACAUGGCUUAGCAACUUGGUAACCCUGUAAUUGUUACAAUUUUGGAUGUCAUGACUCCGGUAACUCUUCCCCUGCUCAUCCUGAUAAUAGUGCGUUUAACCUCAUCAACCUUAAUAUACCUACAUUAUUCAUAAUCCCAAUGUCACUCAGAGUGUUCCAAAUCACCCAGCAUAAUAUUUUUGUCUCCUUCUUUGUUCAAAAAUUUAUUGAAGUAAGCUUGUCAUUUUUAUUUAAUGAGAGUCUCUUCCGUUAACACCUUGACUUCCUUAUUUUUUAUCUAAGUCCUGAACUUUCCUCUUUCUCUCAUUUGCAGUUUUUUCUCUGCGUCUUUGUCCCUUAGCUAAGUAUACAAUCAUUCAAAGACGAGCGUCUUUGCUAUUGCAAUCGCUCUAACUUAAUCUUUGUCUUCGCCGCUUUAUAAAUUUCCUUAUGGGAUUUUGAGAAUAUACCCACUAAAAAUAUCUCAUGGUCCUGAUAAGGGGUGUACAAAACCGAACCGAAAACCGAAUCAAACCGCAAACCGAGUCAACUCAAAAAAAAAAACCUGACUAGUGGUUUGGUUUGACUUGGUUUGGUAUUGGAAAAAAAACCCGACUAUAUUUGGGUUGGUUUGGUUUUAACUAAAAAAACCAACCCGAGACCAAACCAACCCGACAUUAUAUAUGUAAUUUUAAAAUUUUAUUUAUACAUAAAAAUAUUUACUUUGAUAUAAUUUUAAAAUAUCUCUUAUACUAUUUCAUAGUUUUUAUCUUUUAAUAUAUUAUUUCAAGUUUAAAACUUAGAAUUCAGAAUGGUCCAAUAAAUAUUAUAGUUCAUAAAUGUUGAUAAUUACUGUAUAAUAAAACUUAAAUCAAAAUCAAAUUAAUACUAAUGCAAAAAGAAAAUCAUUUCAACACUAAGAAUGACAAUAAUAUUGAAUAUUUGUUCUUUAGUUUUACAUUGGUUUAGACAAUUAAAAUACAUAAUCUAAUUUUAAUUUUCCUUAAAUAUUUAGUAAUGUAACUAAUACUUAUUAAACUUAUUUUAGCAUGAUUUAGUACUUUUAAAUUAUGAUCAUUUUCAUUAUGACUUUACAAUAUUUAUUUUAUAUGAUGAUUUCAUUAUUAUUUUUUAUUGAAUAUUUUUGUGUCAUCAGUACUAAUCUCAUAUUUUGUGUUAUUUUUUUAAGUAAACACCUUAGAUAAUUGUAUUUUGGUUGGAUUAAAGAAAUAUUUGGAGCACAAGUUAAUUCUAUGCAAACAUUACCGAAAAAAUCCGAGGUUUAUUAGUUUGGUUUGAUUUAUAAAUUUAAAAAUUCGACACAAUGGUUUGGUUUGGUAUUUGAAAAAUCCGAACCAACCCGAGGUUGAAAAACCCGAAAAAUCCUAAUUUUAUUAGUUUGGUUUGGUUUAUAAAUUUAAAAUUUUUACACAAAUGGUUUGGUUUGAUAUUUGAAAAACCCGAACCAACCCGGUUAUGUACACUCCUAGUCCUGAUAAUGAACAAGCGUCCUAAGUAAGUUUGUCAAAAAUGAACCCAAACAUAGAUAACCCGCCUAGAAUUUUAAGGGUUGGGCUCAAGAUAAUUUGAAUUGGGUUCAAUCUCAUCCCAUUCAAGCCUAACCCAUUUUAUGAGAAUCCUCAAUUGAGCCCAAUUCAAUCUUUAAUUUCAACUCGUUUUAAAACUCUUUACUAAGAUAUGUUCCUAUAUUAAAGGUAUGAAUUAUUAUCUAUUUAAUAUCUUUUAGGAUUUAUCUAUCCAUUUGUUACUUUUUUUAAAAACAAAUCUUGAGCUAAAAUUCGAAUUGUGAUUAUAAAAGUUAAAUAUCACUAUGUUAAAAUUAUUGAGAUUAAUCGGGUCAAAUUGGGCGGGUCAAGACCCAACCCGAUUUCUAUUUCAACCCAUUUUAAUAUCUCCAAUUUCAACUCAACCUGCCCAUUUGACAUCCCUAGUCCUAAGUCAUCGGAUUGAUGAUGGAAUAGAAGAGAGAUUGAGUUUUUUUUUAUUCAUUUGGAUCGGAUUUGGAGAGGUAAAAAAUAGUGAGGUAAUUAUUUAAAAUCACGAGAUGCUUUAGAAUUUUAAAAACAUUUUAGGAUGACUUGGGCACAAGUUAUAGUAAUAAAUUGCAAAUAAUAAUGCCAUUUAUAAUUAAUAUAUAUAACAAUCAAGACUUGGAUAAAUUAUUAAGCCAAUGUCAUUUUUUAAUCAAGACUAAUUAUUGUAAAUUAGAUAUAAGAAAGACUUGAUUUAACAAUGUCUACUUAGUUAACCUCCUCCUCUUCAUUGCUAAAAAUAUCCUCUUCCUCUCGCAAAAUUUAGAAAGAGAUCGAUUGAUGAAUCGAUUCUAUGGCAGAUGCAGCGGUGAACUUUUUCGUGGAGAACUUGUUGCAGCUGUUAAGUGAAAAUGUGGUGUUAAUUGAAGGCGUAGAGGAUGAAUUCAAAAAUUUGUUGGAUCAAGUGCAACGCCUGAAAGCAUUCGUUGACGAUGCUGCUAAAUUCCAGAGCGAUAGCAGUUUAUGGGAUGAAUUGGUGAAGGAUAUUCAAAAAAUGAUACACAAACAAAAAAUACUCCCUUUGUCCCAUUUUAUGUGAGUUAGUUUGAUUCGAUACGGAGUUUAAGAAAGAAAUGAAGACUUUUAAAACUUGUGAUCUAAAAUAAAUGAUAGAAAUAUGUGUAGUUAUAAAUUAUUUCAUUAAGGAUAAAAUGAACAUUUUAAAACUAAAUUAUUACUUAAUAUAGAAAGUAAGUCAUACUGAUCGAGGGAGUAACAAAUAAAAAUAAAUAUAAAAUGCUUCAUGAAUUGUCUUUUUAGUUUAUGUUUUAGCUCUCACACACUACAAAGAGUUAAGAAAUCCUUUUGCAGUCAUGUUUGCAAAGAGUUAUAUUUAUGCUCAUGGUGGCAUUGCAUGAACUUUAGAAUUUUUAUAGUUAUAAUUGCAAAAAUUAUCCGCACUGUUUUUUAAUGCAUUCUGUUUGAUUAUUAUGUUAAAAAGCGUCCUCCCUUGGAGAAUGAUGAAGUGGUCGGGUUUGAUGUGGAAGCUAACAAUAUGAUCAAGCGACUUGUUGAAGGACCGGAAGAAUCACUGGAUAUUAUCCCAGUGGUGGGUAUGCCCGGACUUGGAAAAACUAUACUGGCAAGAAAAAUCUAUAAUGAUCCUAAGCUUUCAUAUGAAUUUCCCAGCAUCCUUUGGGUUAAUGUCGGUAGGGAAUACAAAAUAAAGGAUAUUUAUCUUAGGAUUCUCAAAUUCUUCACAAAACGCAUAGAAGAUAAUCUCAAUGAUGAUGAGGACACAUUAGCUAAGGUGAUAAGUGGUUUAAUGAGUAAUCGAGGUAGAUGUCUCAUUAUUUUGGAUGAUGUGUGGGAAGCAGAAGUCAUUGAUUACGUAAUGAAAGUUUUCCCAGAAAACAAAAAGGGGCAUCGAAUCGUAAUGACCACACGUAAAGGAUAUGUAACUUCUUAUCUCAAUCCAGAAGCUCAUCAUCUGAAAUUCUUGAGUAUGAAAGAAAGUUUUGAAUUGUUGGUAAGGAGAGUUUUUUUCAAGGGAAGUUGCCCUGAUGAAUUAAAUGAAGUUGGAUAUAGAAUUGCAGAAAACUGUUGUGGAGUACCACUUGUUAUAGAGGGAGGUAAUUGCAGGAGCAUUAGCAGGUCGUUCGAAUAGAACUGAAUGGGAAGUAGUUCAUAGAAAUGUGGCACAUGCUUAUAGCGUGAAUAACAAUUGUGCAUUUGUAGAGGUGAGUUACGAUCAUUUACCUCAAGAAGUGCAGAUGUGCUUUUUAUAUUGUGGUAUCUUUCCUCGGGACUUUGAUAUCCCUGCUUGGAAAUUGAUUCGCAUGUGGAUUGCGGAAGGGUUAAUAAAGCCCCAGCAGUCAUACACUAUUGAGGAGAUCGCAGAGCAUCAUUUGAACGAUCUUGUUAAUAGGAAUUUAGUGAUAUUGUUGCAAAAGAAGUCUGAUGGUAAAAUAAAGACAUGUCGUCUUCACGGCAUGUUACACGAGUUUUGCAGAACAAAGGCUGCUAACAAAUGGCUUUUUCAAGAAAUAUGUACAGCAGCUGAUAACUCUCUUCCUUCUAUACAGGACUCAGAUACUUGCCGUCGAUUAUGUAUUCAACCAUCUACUCUGUGUGACUUUCUCUCCACAAAACCUUCUGCAGAACAUGUCAGGUCUUUCUACUGUUUUUCCUCAAAACAAAAAACAAACUGAAUUGUCUCGUAAUGAAAUCAAACUCCUUCACAAAGCAUUUCCACUUAUAAGGGUCUUGGAUGUUGAAUCUCUCAAAUUUAUUUUCUCCAAAGACUUUAACCAAUUAUUUCAUUUGAGGUAUAUUGCUAUCUCGGGUGACAAUAAAGCCCUUCCUCCGCCCUUUGGUAAUUUCUGGAAUUUACAAACUCUUAUACUUAAUACAAGUACCUCAGAGCCCACUCUUGACGUAAAGGCAGACAUAUGGAACAUGUUACAGUUGAGGCAUCUCCACACCAACAUACCUGCAAAAUUGCCAUCCCCGACUAUCACGACAGGUAAACCUUCUUGUCUACAAACUCUUUCUAUGGUUGCACCAGAAAGCUGCAAGAAAGAUGUGCUAGCAAUGGCACGUCAUCUAAAAAAAUUGAGCAUUCGAGGGAAAAUGGUAGCUUUUCUUGAAUCCAGGAGUGGAAGUGGAAUCAGCAAUCUUGAAGAGCUAAAGUGCCUGGAACGUUUGAAACUGUUGAAUGAUGUUGUUUACAUGAAUAAAACAGUUCAACUUCCUGCAGCAUUCUUCAGACUUGCACGUACACUAAAGACGCUAACUUUGGCAAACACAAGGUUUGCAUGGACUGAGGCGGAAAAAUUAGCGCAAUUGGAAUCCCUUGAGGUUCUAAAGUUGAAAGAGAAUGCAUUCAUGGGUGAUACAUGGAAGCCGGAGGUAGGAGGUUUUAGCAAACUGCAGGUAUUGUGGAUCGAGAGGGCAGAAUUAGAAACUUGGGAGGCGUCGAAUCUUAGCUACCCCAUCCUUAGGAACCUUGUACUUGUCUCUUGUGAUAAGCUCAACGCUAUACCAUUUGAGCUGGCUGAUAUACCUAACCUUUGCGAGAUGAAGCUGGAUAACACAAUCAAAGCGGUCAAAUCUGUGAAAGAUAUACUGGAACAUAAGAAAACUCAAAACAUAGUAUUCAAGUUCAGCAUAUUCCCUCCUGAGUCUGAAUCCAAGGCCACACAGUAAAGUUGAAAGGUUAGUCAAAUUCAUUUGUAUUAUAGUACGGCUAUAUAUCUUUGUUUCCAUUUGGCAUACAUUUUACGUGACUCCAUCUAUCUUUAUACACGUCUCAUUUGGUAGAAUAUCCCGUAAAACUAUUUUAUUUGUAAUUAUUUCAUUCUUCUAGUAUAUGUAACAAUUUGUAAAACACUAAUUCGUUCUCUUACAUUCUGAAUGCACUCUGCAACACUUUUCCUCUCUUAGUUUCCCUGUUAUUUCAUUAACCAAUUUUCCUCCAUUCUGCAGGAGAGAAUCGGUACUUCGAUCUGGCCGUCAUGUGUAUGAUGUCGCGGCAUUUCAUGUUUUCUGUCGUCCACUCAUCUGAAAAGAAAACCUGUUUGGCAUUUGUGAGUUGUAAUGCACUAAAUAAAUGGAGUAUGUACUCCCUGGAGAUUAUUUUUUUUCGAGUUUCUGAUCAUUUGGAGUGUUUUCUUUUUUCAAUCGUAAGCUUCUUUCACUAUUCUGUUGUAUUUGAUUUGUUUCAGUGUAAAACAUACAGUUGCUUUUAUCUUCAAAUAAAGUGUUGUGUGUUUUGUUUACAAUUUGGAAUCAUUCAGAUGAUCAUUCUAGUUAUUUCUGAAUUGGAAGGUUUCAAGUUCAAAAUACAACCGUGCUUUGUGAUCUUUCCAUAAGAUUAGUUCAGACAAAGAAAUAAUAUUCAAAUUAUCCUCCGAUAUUACACUUAGUAAAACUUGGUCUACUUCUAUCAGUUGUCACUACAUCCAUUGAAAGAGGUUUGAUAAUAUUUCUAAUGAUGUAAUUAGUAUUAAGAUAUUUCAAGAUAUGAAACCUCGUAGAAUACAAUUCUAAUUACGUGUGUAGUUGCAUUUUCAAUUGUAAAACUAUACCACAUAGUUAUUUCUGAGUCAUAUGAUAAGGAUAAGGAUAUAGAGUCCUAGUACGUUAGUAUGUUUGAGUCAUAUACGUAGUUAUUUCUCUUCUCUUUAGGUCUCUUACGUUCAACAGACUCAUUUAUCUUCUAUACUUGUUCAUGUAUAAAUACCACACAUUGUAUCAAUAAUACUCAACGCUUUCAUAAUCAUAUACAACUCUUAUACUAUACGCUUCUUCACGUGUUUGGUGUUUAAAUCCCCCUUCUAAGUGGUAUAAUUAUCACUAUGUUUGUAAUAUAUACCGGGAUAUGAUUUCUAUCAUUCAGGGUGUUUUGUAUUAUUUUGAAGUCAUUUUAUGUUAAAAAUCAUUUUUUUUGUGAAGGAAGAAUAUUUUUACUUGGCAUUAUACAUAAAUAUGUUAUUUAACUUAGCUUCAGCUAGUAUCUACGCCUUUCAUAUCUGGGUGUGCACAAGUAGGCACUUAAACUUAUAUAAAAUUGAACAAGUAGACACAUGCCAUACAUGGCAUAAUACACGUAGGAUGCCACGUAGGAUACACAAUUGUCAUGUAGGACGCCACGUAGGAUGAAUGUGUCUAUUUGUUCAAUUUUAUAUAAGAUUAAAUGUCUACUUGUGCACACCCAAAGUUAAAGGAUGGCUUCUUAUGCCAAUCCAGAUCCUCAUGAUCUGAAAUUCUUGUCUGCAGAAGAAAGUUUUGAAUUGUUGGUAAGGAUGGUUUUUGGCAAGGGAAGUUGUCCUGAUGAAAUAGUAGAACUUGGAAAAAGUAUCGCAGAAAGCUGUGGUGGAGCACCAGGUGCAGACGUGCAGUAUCGGUAAUUGCAGGAGCAUUAAGAGGUCGUUCGAAUAUAACUGAUUGGCAAGUAGUUGAGAGAAAUGUGGCACAACAUCUUUAUAAUAAUAACCAAGAGAGUUGAAAGGUUAGUCAUGUUCAUUUGCUUGCACGGCUAUACUCUUUUCCUCCAUCUGCAGAAGGGAAUCAGGACUUCGAUCUGGGGUCAUGUGUAUGAUGUCGUGGCAUUUCAUGUUUUUUUGUCAUCCUGUCAUCUGAUAAUGUUGUGUUCCGAUAAAGAAAACAUGUUUCUCUUUUGUGAUUUUGCAUAGUAUCAAAGCCUAUAGGCUCGUGUCGAUCUGUGUUGUCUUUCAAAAAUAGGCUUCAUCUUGUUUUAGCCAUGUUACACAAGAGGUUCGGAUUUCUAAUCCACUGCUUUAAAGUGGUCAUUUUGUGUCACAGCCACCACAGAAGGAGGCGGAGUAGAUUUUUGGGUUGAGCCAAUCUUCUCCGGAGUCCUGUUGGAAAUCUUGCGGAAAGUACUUCAAAAGUAAAACCUGUAGAGAAUUAUUUAUAGCAUGAGGUAUGUAAAUAACACUGUCCUUAAGGAUGCUUUACCCAGUAUAUGUGUAUCUCCCAACAUUCAAUAAGCUCUUCUAGUAUUAAAACUAGGAGCACAAUGAGGAUGCAGCAAGUGUCUGAAUAAUGAAUAGUAUGGAUUCAUAAUCUGAACUUGAAACCUUCUGAUUUAAAAAUAAUUAACUCACGAUAACUCUUUGCGAUCAGGUAUCUGAUUCGCGAUCGUGAUGCACCAGACACCUGAAAUCUUUGCUACAGUACCUUAAAUGUUCCGACUAGUCUGAUAUCAUCCGAGCGCCUCCAGUCUCAACCCGAACCAUCUAACCAGGUCAAAAGUAUAAUACCAACUUAACCAAAUCCUAAAACAUGAAUUAGAACACAAAUACUAAAAAUGAAGGGUCAGGUUAUUACAAGAACAUGCAUUUCACUUGAAACUUUGUUUUGAAGUUUUUUGUGAGUGAAAGAAAAAUUCAUCGAAAACCAGUUUUUUGUACGGAUUCAUAAUUUGAACUUCAGAACCUUCCAAUUCAAAAAUACUAUAUUGAACUAGAACUCAUAAAGAUUCCAAGUGGGAAAUAAGGCAAACAUUUUAUUUGUUCGGAAUAACAGAUUAGUAGCACAAACUCUUCACAUUUGAUGCUGCACCAGCGUUGGAUUCUCCAAAAAUACACUAAUUUUAGAGAAUACAACACGCACCCGUUAACAAUUUUGAAGAGUCCAAGCAACAUAGAAUAACAUUCUUUCAACACAUGAGCCAUAAAGGCGCAAACUAUUAUACAACAACAACACAUGAAAAGCAACACUUCCACAAAAAUGAAACAAAGCAAAUACAACAAAAACAGAAUAAAAGGUGCAAACAAUUAUACAACUGAAAAACCACACACUCCAUAUACAUGAAACCAGGAUCCCAACAAGGUCGAUGUCUCGAUCCU
RNAcentral lists this long non-coding RNA (56339 nucleotides) under Solanum tuberosum (potato). RNAcentral describes it as "long non-coding RNA (STUB_LNC004280)". The record is from RNAcentral. Lineage: Eukaryota; Viridiplantae; Streptophyta; Magnoliopsida; Solanales; Solanaceae.